This 46767-nucleotide long non-coding RNA is filed under the name Marmota monax (woodchuck). The stretch from base 28156 to 28222 matches the Rfam family "tRNA". The record is from RNAcentral. Lineage: Eukaryota; Metazoa; Chordata; Mammalia; Rodentia; Sciuridae.
CACUCAACUGAGAACAUGACACCCCUCCCUGAGAGGUGACCUCAGGGACUUAAAAAGACUUUAAGGAGUAACUGUUCAAGCCUUGAAAUAGCGCAGGAAUAAAUAAUCUUUUGAGGUACAACAUGGGCAGCUUAGAAUCUCUAACUAGGGGACGUCUCUUGAAAAUUUUAGGAACUUCUCACCCCUUUCGGAUCUGUCUAGGGGUUCAUCAGGAUCAUCAUGAAAUAGACAUAUAGAUGUCAGUAGGAGCAGAAGGUUGCUGGUUUCCAUUAUGCAUGAUCUAGAACUGUCAUCCUGACAUAUUUCAGUUUAACCUGGCUGAAAGAUUCCUAACAUAAUCUUAAAGACGUCAAGAACAAUUUGCAGGUAUGUGUGUGUGCAUGAUUGCAUGUGUGUGCAUGAAAGUGUACGUGCAUGUGUGUGUGCAUGUGUGUGUGCAUGGGUGUGUGCAUGGGUGCAUGUGUCUAUGUGUGUACGAAUGCAUGCAUCUGCAUGUAUAUAUGUUUCCUUACUUAUAUAUUUUCAUCCCAGGAGGACAAUUGUCUUACAGGUGUAAAGUUCUGCUUUUUCCUCUGUUAGGGUUUUUGUUACACUCAACAGGCCUUUUGUCUAAUGCAUUGACACGUUAAUGAAAAACAAAAGGCAGUUUCAUCAAAAGAGACAAGAUUACUGGAAUCAUAAAUGGAGACCAUCAGGGAGGCUAGCAACAACAAUAAUAAUAAAUUGCAUCGAUUGUCUACAGAAACCUGCUUUUCUAAGGUACUUUUGAUAAUUACCUGUCAAUGUUUCAGUGUCAACACCCACUCUUUUGAAUUGAUGAAGCCUAUAUAUAAUCACAUGAAAUUCUUGUGUUUGCCUCUUGAAGUGCAUUCAUUCCCAGGCAUGACUAGGGCAGGGGUUAUUUUCUUUUUCUAGGUAGGGAAAGUGGCCUUGUUUGAGUUUGAUACAUAUAAGCAUUGCUUUUGGGUGGAAGGGAAGCCAAACAAAAUUUAACAAAGAAGCAUCAGCUGCCCUGGAAAAGCAGACGAGAACAUUAGCUGGCCUGGGUGCAGGUUAAGUUGUGUCUGUCUCCAACCUGACACUUGUCCUUCUCUCUGUCAAACUCAGGUAGAGCCUAACUUGUUACAUCUAUCAGGCACUGUGUUCAACAGGGGAGAUGGGAAAAAAAAAAGAAAUCUAGUGAAAUCUAUGUUAGGAGUGUAGGAACUUUAAGGGUUAUCAUUUGUCUGACCACUAGCAUCCAAAGAGACUAUGUAUGACAUACCUAGCCUAACUGUGUUAGAGAUGAAGAAACAGGGUCACAGAAAGGGUAAGUAAAUUAUUUAAAAUCACGCAGAUAGUUAGGGGGGUAAGUGGUGGACCAAAUUUUAAACUCAAUUCUCAGAUGGAUUUUUUUGUAACUAUUAAGCUUUAGUGUGCAUCCAUAAGUGAGAUAAGGUUAUGAUCAUGGAAUGUUAAGAACUUAAAAAAGGAGGAAUUACAUCCAGUUUGAGGGAUAAAAGUAGGACUUUGUGGAGAAGGUGAAUUGUAGCUGGGGAGGAUUAAGUUCAGUGAGGUGGAAACAUAUCAUGGAGGUCUUUGUUGAAGGAAUCGCAGAACAGGGUCCAGAAGAUGCCGUGAUAAACGUGCGGUGGCAUGGUUUGUAGUAGGUUUGUCACAAGGUCAUUAGUACCAAAACCUAGGAGGAAUGGGAAACAGAAUGGCUUAAUUUCCCUGGGGAAAAUCAGUCAGGAAGACCUCACUAGCAUUUAGGCGGAGCUUCUGUUGGACCUGGCCUCUCCCUUAAUCUUUUUCUCCCAAGUUUUGAUUUGCUACCUCCUAUUGUGUGCCUUCUAACUCUACUUUUUAUAUAUUCUAGUUCUCUCUUCAAGGAGAAGCCCAUUUUUGCAUCUAAUAUUUCCAUUCCUAUGGCCAUUGGACGGCAUAAAAUAAAAUAGAAAAAUGCCCAGAAUUCUAAAUACAGUAUAAAAUAUGGUAUAAUCCCCCAGUUCUCCAUCAUUCCUCAUGUUUUAAACAACUGGGUAUUUCCCAAAUGGAAACUCAUGGAUCCUACAUAUGUAUUCCGCACCUAGCUGGAGCUGUUACCAGCUAUAUUCAUGUAUAACUCAACUAAUGUAAUUACUAGAUUUUACCAAAACCAAUUUUAUAUUUUGCUAAAUGUAUAUGGUUAUCACUAUAGUUGCCAUUGACAUUCAUGCGUUCUUUUGGUAAUUCUUUCUUUAUUUAAUGGUGCCAGUAAUGUGAACUAUUCCAUCCACCUUUAACCAGCGGAGACCAAUUCACGAUGUCAACCUGCAGGAUGAGAGCAGACUGCAAUUUCCCACUUUCUGGCUGCAUGUGGGUUGCCUCCUAGUGGGGUUUCCAGGCUUCCAUUCCACUCAACAACCUUGGAUCUUAGGAGUUCCACUCCUAGGCAGAGUCUCAUUUCCAGAGAUGUUGCCUUUGCAUAAUUUCACAGCUGGGGAUAUCUGUAGCUCAGGUAAAUCAAAUAAGUUUGUGCCUCUGCACAAAUAAAAUCUUGUUCCCUUUCCCUAGGCCCCCAUUACCCUGUUAUAACCAUUGCUUGGGCUCUGGUUCUUUCUCAGACCUCCUCACCAUAUUGCUUUUCAUGCCUAAAAAUAACUUAGGCAUCCAGCACUACCACUGCUAGGUAUAUAGAUCCAAAGGAAAUGAAAUCAGUAUGUCAAAGAGACAUCUGGAACCAAGUGCAGUGUUGUUCACCUAUAGUUCCAGCAAGUGAGAGGCUGAGGCAGGAAGGUCACAAGUUCAAGACAAGCCUCAGCAAUUUAGUGAGACCCUCCGAAAGUUAGAACUCUGUAUUGAAAUAAAAAAUGAAAACCAAAGGACUGGGGGAUGUAGCUCAAUGGUAAAACAUGCCUGGGUUCAAUCCUCAGCAUCAAAACAAAAAAACAUACAAAACCCACAUCUGUGCUCCAAUGUUUAUUGGGGCACUAUUCAUAGUAGCCAAAUUAUGGAAUCAAUUUCAAUGAUCAUCCAACAAGACGAAGGGAUAAAAGGUAGCAUAUAAUAUACACAAUGGAAUAUUAUUUAAUCAUAAAAAGGAAACUAAUUUUGUUAUUUGCAACAACAUAGAUGAACUGAAAGAACAUUUUAUUAAGUAAAAUAAAUACUGAAUGAUCCCAUUUAUAUGUGAAAUCUAAAAAAGUUGAUUUUGAUGAUGCAUCAAUUAGAUUUAAUCAUAAUGUAUAUAUCCUUUAAUACAUGUUAUGCAUGAUGAAUGCAUACAAGUUUACAUGUCAAUUAAAAGAAAAUUGGAGGGGGGAAAGGAAAAGAGAAAGAACUUUGGCUUUGCAAUUAUUUUCUAUCCCUCCUCUAUAUUCCUUGCUAGGAACUUGAGACCUGUAGUUAUCAGCACUGGUGGUAGUGAAGGGGAGGAGCUACAGCCGUAGGUGACCUGGGCUCAACUGUUUCUGUGCCAUUCAAUGUCCAGCCACCCCCAUCACCUGCCUGGUCAGCUGAAGGAGUCUUCUAUACAAGUUCCUCUGCUUUCUUUCCUAUCUCCAAUUUUAUUUCCAUAGAGUGGGUAGAAUAAUCACAUAGUUGGCUAUUAUUUUUUUUAAUCUAAAAGCAAUAUAUAUAUAUAUAUAUAUAUAUAUAUAUAUAUAUAUAUAUAUAUAUAGUUUUUAAAAAAGGAGUCAAGCUCAAAAGUCCAUAUGAUGAAAACUAAGACUCUCAGAUAAGUGAGCCCUCUGGUCCCCAAAGACAUCUUCCUAUAAGCAAACACAUUUGCAGUUGAUUUUGUGGUUUUCAGAAAUAGUCUGUGUAUAUGUGUAUGCUAUGAUUUAGAUAUUAGGUAUCCCCCAAAAGCUCAUGUGUGAGACAAUGCAAGAAAGUUUUGAAGAAAAAUGAUUGGGUUAUGAGAGCCUUAACCCAAUCAGUGAAUUAAUCACCUGAUGUUAUUAACUGAGUGGUGACUAAAGGUGGGUAGGGUGUGGCUGGAGCAGGUGGACAUUGGGGGGUGUGCCUUUGGGGUAUAUGUUUUGUAUCUGGUAAGUGAAGUCUCUCUGCUUCCUGGUGUAAUAUUUUGAGCCACUUGUCUCGACCACAUCCUUCCAUCAUGAUGUCCUGCCUCACCUCAAGCCCUGAGGUCGGAGCUGGCUGUCUAUUGGCUCAGAUCUCAAAUAUGGUUUUUAAAGCAUCUGUGUGAUCUACCAGCCUCUUUCCUGACUGUGAAACCCUGUCUGAUGUCCUCCUCCUCUUCAUUUUUUAGUUUCCACACUAGACACAUUAGAUCCUCAAACAUCUUAUCUUACCGCCUAAGAUUUUUUGCAUGUGCUUUUCUUGUUGACCAGAGUAGCUUUCUCUUUGACACGAAAGUUUUGGUUGCUUCUUUCAUAUACUUACCGUCCACCCUUAGCAGCCAUGUGGUUUGGAUGGAAUAGACUUACCCUAAAAUAUAUAGGUCCACAAAUCCAUCCUUCUUUCCACAGUGAUUGGUUUAGGCAUCUCUUGAUGACAAGGAUUAGUUGGAGAUGACUUAAUGAGCAUUAAAAGGAACUCUGUCUUUCUCUGAAUGUGAAUAAGCACAGUGUGGUUGUUCCUGGAAGACACUAUCAUGAUAGAAACUAGGAGACUGACACCAACAUAUAAUUUGGAAGGAUAGCUAAAGUCUCUGCGAAACAAAGCCAGUGCCUGGAUCUAAUUGUUCCUGAAGCUGUUAAGAGCUCAGUGACCAAUAAAUAUCUUUGUGUUUUAAGCAAAUUUGCAUUGGGCUUUCUCUGACAGUCCAGACAACUUAAAGCAUCAUGAUCCAUGCUCUUCUUCCUCCCACCAUUCUCUUAUCUGGCUAACUUUUGCCCAGGCUUAAAUGUUACUUCCUCAAAGAAGCUUUUCCUGACUUUCUAAGACUCAGUUCUGUCUUCCUUUCUUUGUUUUCCUUGUAUUGAAGUCUUUUCCUCCUGUACACUUGUCACAAUUAUAGUGGGUGAUUAUAUUUAAUAUCCUUCUCCUACCAUGGACUGUCAAUCAGUGAAGGUGGGCCAUGUCUGUCUGGUUCACAGCUCUUGACCCAAGCUCUGACAUGUACCUCUCGAAUCCCCAGAAUAUGUUACUAGCUAAAAUCCAAUUUCUGUCAGUGAAUCUAAUCUCCAUGGAGAGGAUGUGUGGGUUAUGUUUAAGAGCUCCAUUCCAAUGCAGGUCAGAAUCCUGGAUCAGAAGCCUCAAUCCUCUCUGUUACUAUUUUUGGUUUGUUUGUUUGAGAGAAGUUACUGAAAAUUUUCAGUAACUUUAAGCUUCCAUUUCUUUGUUUUUAAAACGAGGAUUAUAACAGUAUCUGAUCCAUGGGGUAAUUGUGAGAACUAAAUGUCAUGAUGCAUGUAGUAUGUCUACUGCAAUAAUAAGUACUCAAUAUUUUCUAUCACAUAGUAAAUAAUAAAGAUAUCACAUGAUAAUCCCACAAGUAGCUAUCGGUUAUCAUUAUUACAAUUGGAUUUCCACUUCUUGAAUCGCAAAAUCCGAUUUCUCUUAAUUCUGCUCCAGUGCUUUUGAGGGGCCUUUCUUAUGAAUGAUUUAGCAAUUUACAUAGAAUUGACCGAAUGCUGGAUUUUUAAAAAAUUAUUAUUAUUUCUACUUGAUUCAGGUUCUUGUGUAAUCGAGUUCGUUGGAACAACUAUUAUUCUUCAAAAACGAAAAUGGAUUUGAAGGAGUAUUUAUAUUGAUUUAUUGUUGGUUGUUUGUUGAAAUGUAAAUAGCCCUGAAUGUGCCACUCACUGGGAAAGGACAGUGCUUUUCAUAACGAACAAAAUCGCCUUGUUUCACUUUAAUAACCUGCUUGUGGUCAAACCCGUCAUGGGAUUCCUUAAACACUGAAGAAUGCCUGCUAUUGUCAUUUGCAUGUCAAUGAACAGACGGUCUCUGCUCCUCGCUGUCUAUUACACAGCACUGCCGGUUUCCUAACUUGGGGACUGCUCUGUUUAGAUGUGAAAUGCACAUGUCUACCUCUUUCAAACACACAGCGUGUCCCAAGCACAGGCAACAGCUGCUGAGGCGGUUCUCCCACUUCUCUAUUGUGUUUUUGUGGAAGUUGUAAGGGUGAGAAAUAGGUUGCCCACCCCGAAAUGAUAUGGGCAUAUAUGUAUGUCUUUCUUUCAUAGCUGUAUGCUGUGAACAAUCAUUUUGAGUUUCAAAUUGGAUUUAUGUAAGAAUAAAAAUAGAGCAUGGGAUUACCUAGGAAAUCCAGACUUUAAAAUUCCAAAGAAAACAACCUAGAACUUAUUCCUCCACUUAUCAUCCCAUUUCUGCCAAUACCUUUUCCCAGAGUUGGAAAUGGUCUUUCUGUUUGACUGACUUGGAAAGAAAUGGCAUGUUAUCUCUCCCGGAAGGGCCACUGAGGGAAUUGAGGUUGAAUGCAGAGUUUUGUGAUUCUAGACGGAUGCCCAGAGCAGCACAGAAAGUGGGGACUGCAAAUUGAAUGAUGAUCAUCUCUAGCCUUCCUUGUCCAGUUCUAGCAUAAUGCCUUUAAUCAUGGUUUUAAGAGACCUUAAUUGCCACUGCAGCAUUUAAUAGCAGUUUCACCAGAGUCACAAUAUGGACAUGGAUUUAGUAUUCAGAGAGGCUUAGUGGGAAUGGGAAGCUAAAGACACCAUCUCCCAACCCUCUCAGGCUAGUUAUUGUGUUCCAUCCUAUGAAAACACUAAUUUUGGUAAAUACCUGUAUGUCCCCAGAUUUUUGUUGUUGUUCAAUUGAAAAUUGAUUAUCACCAGGCCUGGUGGCACAUCCCUUAUAACCCUAGUGGCUCCAGAGGAUUCACCGUAGGAGGAUGGUAAGUUCAAAGCCAGCCUCAACAACUUAUCGAGGCCCUAAGCAACUUAGAGAGACCCUGUCUCUAAAUAAAACAUAAAAAGGGCUGGAGAUGUGGCUCAAUGGUUUUACGCUCCUGGGUUCAAUCCCUGGUACUAAACAACAACAAAUAAGAUAAAAAAGAAAAUUGAUUAUCAAUAUUGUACUCAUUCUUAGAAAAAAUCAAGAACUCACAUUCACACACAGGAAAUAGCAAUGAUCAUAGAUGUUUUCUGCCUGGGACUGUUCUAGAUUCCAUCUGGGAAUUAAGUCGGCUAACUCUCUUCCACAACCAUACAAUGAGAGACAUAAUAUUAUUAUCCAAUUUUUCUGUUGAGCCGCUGAGGCAAAGAGCCGUCCAAUGACUUGCCCAUGGCAGAAGUGUGUAUGUGAAAAGCACCGUCUGUCUCUGCUAUGGACGUGUGAUACUAACCAGAGGCAGCAGCUGCUAAGGCAGUUAACCAGCUUCCCUACUGUGAUUUGUGGAAAUUAUAAUGGAAAGAAAUAAGUGGCCUGCCCCCACUAUCUUGCUAUACAGAUUCAAGUAAAUGGUGAAGCUAUUAAUGAAAAUAUUAAUAACCCCUAUUAAUUGAGUGCUUCCUAAAUUCCACCACCACUUUUCUAUGGGCUUUCUGUGUAGAGAGGAUCCCCAACUUGACAAUGGCUUGACUUAAUGAUUUUUUUGACUUUCAUAUAGUAUACAAGUGAUAUGCACUCAAUAGAAACUAUAGUUUAUAUUUUGAAUUUUAAUCUUUUCCCAAGCUAGUGCCAUGGUGUGACAUUCUCUGAUAGCUGGACAUGGCAGUGAGCUCAUACCCAGGUGAUCACAAGAGUGAGCAACCGGUCAUUUGCAGUGUCCUGAGUUGCCAGUGUUUUCUGGAUACAAGUAUUCAAUAAAUUUCAUGAGAUAUUCAGCACUUUAUUAUAAAACAGCCUUUGUCUUGGGCACAAUGGCAAAUGCUUGCAAUCACAGCUACUCAGGAGUUUGGGGCCAGAGGAUAGUUCAAGCCCAAGAGUUCAAGGACAGCAUGGGCAAUGAAGUGAGACCUGGAUCAAUAAAACAUAUAAUAAAAUAAACAAUCAGACACUAUAUAUAAGUAAAAUUAGGCUUUGUUGUUAAAUGGUUGUACACAACUGCUAGCUAAUGUCAGUGUUCUGGGCAUGUUUAUGUUGGGCUAGGCUGAGCCAUGAUGUUUGGUAGGUUAGGUGUGUGAAACGAACUUUGACUUAUGAUCUUUUCAAUUUAUGGUGAAUCUAUUGGAAAGUAAGUUGAGGAGCAUCUGCAUUAGUCCUUACAAAAGGCUAAAGAGAGUUAUUUUUAUGCUUCUUUUGGGGGUGAUGGUUUCUAAGGCAGACAGAGGUAACGCUGAGCCCUGUCUCAUUUCUAGAAAAUAAGAGAGCAGGGAUUUGAACUCCUGAACUUGUGUGAUCACCACUAAUCGGUAGCUCCUCUAGAUGGGAAAACUCUUCCUCCAGGCCUCUGGGAGAAUGGCGUGGGCCCCCACACUGUGCUGGCUGCCAAGGGCACGAGCUAACCUAUUGGGUUUCUUCUUCUUCUGCCAAACCUCAGGAUCUUUCCUGAGAUCCCUUCCCUCCAUCCCACACAGGCUCCCCGUGUUCCAAUUUCUUUAAGAGCUGACUUGGGCUUGUUGGCAGCUGGCCAACUGAGAACCUACUUCACAACAACAUGGAGUGGGAGCAAAUGAGUUAAUAUGUUCCAGAUACUUACAUAUUUUUGGCAUAGAAUCUAACCAAUAUAAUCACAGCUUAUUAUCUUUCACAGGCCACAAUCAUUCUUUUAUUCGUUCAAUAAACAUUGAAUGACUGUGAUGGCCUGGGCACUGUGCUAGGCCGACAUUAGUAUUUGCGAUGGAGUGUUUUGGAAAUGCAAUGCCCCAUUCAUCCGAGGGGCUUUAAUGGUGGAAGCCUUUGGCACUCCGGCAAGCAGGCUUUUUGGCUCUUCUCAAGUCUCAUUAAUUCAAUGGCCAUUGACUGCUUAUCUGAACGGCUGGUCUCACUGGCACCACCUUUGAAAAAAAGUGGUAGGAUUUGAUUCCAUUGUCAAAGAAGGGAAGAAAAUGACUUGUCUGGGGUUAGAUGACUGCCCCCACCACCCCCAAUUCUACAGGAUGGCAUUUUUCUGGCCAAGAAAACAAAAUUUAUAAAAUGAGACAUAACUGAUAGGAAAUUCUUCUUCAAAAGAGAAUUUUCCAUUUGCCUCUAUGAUGAAAUCAGGACAAUGCUCUUGUCAUUUUUUUUUUUUUUUUUCCUUUUUUUCUAGUUGGUUUGUUUCAAUGACGGUUUUUUUUUUUUCUUUUGUCUACUUCUAGCCCAUUAGGAAGCCUGCUUCUUUGGACAGGACCUGCCCCUGCAUACAGCAUUGUUUAGUUUUAGCUUCUUAAUCUUGUCUCUGAAUCUCAUACAGGACGUCUGGGUUUUGCUAGUGCUUUUCUUUGUGGAGAGUCCUUUCUGACUCCAAAACAACCAAUUUUGAAGCCAUGAACAUUUCGGGGACUCGGAGCUGCAAAAUACACAACACACAGUGUUUUGAGAUCUAAUGAAGACUCUGUCAGGCCUGAUUUGGAUCUUUUAAUGAGGGUCUGAUUGAAUUUGCCAUCUCCAUAACAGUUGUGAGUCUUUGGGGCCAGUAAAUGAGUUCCUUCCCUGUUCUGCACAGGAGCACCGAUGGCCCUGAGUUGUCAGCGCCAACACUGGUGUGUCACAAGUUGUCAGGGGUCACACAUUUGGUGGAUGACUUACUAGGUCAUCUCAGAUAAGCCCAUUGAAUCUUUCUGUGUUUUGGUUUUUCCGUCUGAGAACACAGGAUUACACACACUGGGCUUCUCAGGAAAGUGCUCUGAGGAAGGACAGAGGUGUGCUGCUUAAGGGGCUUUUGUAAAAGAGCUUUGCCUCACUUCUCAUUAGAAAGAGUGUCAUCUUGAGGUGGUUUAGCAACUUUUUGGCAGGAUAGUCCGAGGAAAAGGACUUGCUGAAGAAACAUCAGAGCCAAAGGAAGGGAGGGUCCUUCCUGGUAUUUCCUAUAUUUCCUAGUGGACUUCUCCAAGGGCUCAUGGCUACUGUUAUUUCUCUAGGAAAACCUGAAGUUGGGAGGACACCUUUUGUGAGUCCCAAAUCAUCAAUGAUCAACAACCUCUUGGUGGUUUGGUUCUUUCGUUCCGAGGGGACUUCAGUGUCGAAGGUGGCCUUGUAGCUGCUUGUCACACAGAACACAUAAACAAUGGUCCCCGUGUUGCCAGUCCUUGGAGUUCUGGAGGUCAGUACACUCUGGUUUUGUCCUUCUAUGUUAUGAUCCAGAUUGCCUUAGAUCUCCCAGAGCAGAUAUGCUUUGUAAACAAAAUCAGCAUUUACUUUGGGGUGAUUAAAACUGUUCCAGUAAAUUCCUUAAUAAGAACCCUGUGUGGAAAUACCUGAAGUCAGAGAAUGGUGUUUCUUCCAUUAACCUGCAGUUCCUGUAUUUCCAAACACUAGUUGAAAACUUUUCGUGGAUGUAAGUGAAACUUAGUGGAACCCUUUAUUUCCCAUUACUAUUUUGCUUACCUAUUCUUCCCCACCCCUUUGAAACUACCAGAGUGAGGCCUGUUCCUUCAUCUGCGUGAACUUCCCACUGGCAACCCCCACAAUUCUGAAAAUCAUUCUGUUUCCUCAAAGGGAAUCAUCAGAUCUCAGUGUGUGAUCACUGCGUGGUGGUGUGCUGUUCUUCUCUGCCUGGGCAUGCCCACGUUUCCUUACAGAAAUGUAAACAGAGGUGCUGCAGUUUUGCCCCAGAGCUGAGGGUGGGACUUUGUAUCAGUAACAUCCCCAAAGGGAGUCAGGAAACAUUGCUCCUCCCCCUGAUGGAUUUGCAGGAGGAGGGGCUCUCACUGUUCUUUUGGUGAGAGAACAAUGUGGCCUCUUUGGGGGUAAAAUGCCACCUAGUAAGAGCUGUGACAAUUUUUCAGUGUCUGUUACUCCACCCUUUAGAAAUUGCCAGCAAUGUCUAAAUGGGGAAAUAGAUAUGUGGUUAGAGCUUUAAAUCAACAGUUAGGUUUAUAGUGUAGUGUUUAUACCAGCUCAGAACCCGAAUGGAUCUAAACACCCAGUAAGAAGAAUCUGAUAAAAUGAAUCAUGAGGUCCAUCUUCUGUCUCUCUCCUUUUCAGAUAGAUAUCUAUUUCUACCAUUUAAAAUGAGGAUGUAAAAACAGUGGCUUUUAAAAACAAAUUUGUAUUAGAGAUACCUUUGAAAAGCUUAGUGAAAGCUAGAAGCCCUCCCCCCAGAAAAAAUAUUCAUAUGGUCAGCAUUUUCAUAUCAUAUCAGGAAAUUUCAACAAAUACUUGUCCGUCACUAGAAGGUUAAGGAUUCUGAACAUAUAGAACUGAGAUAAAUCAUAUUUAAUAAUUUGGAUGUAUGGAGUAGUGGCACAAGCAGGUUACAAAAGAGUAUAAUCCUGCCUUUGUGAAAAAAAAAUAAACCCCACUAAAUAUGUAAAGAGAAAGCUUUGAAAGGCAGACUGUGAAGAGGUUAGCAAGGGCUUCUCUGGGCUGAUAUUAUCCUUUCUUUUCUCUUCUGCCCUCCAUUGUUCUUUCAUUUCUUUGUUCUCUUCUUCUUUUAUUUUUUCCCUCCCUUUAUUUUUUGCUUAUUUAUAUCUUCUAACCUUUCUACAAUUAAUAUAAAACUGCUUUGGUAAGAAGAAAUAUGUCAGACAAGUUUGUUUGGAUUUCUUUUGAAAAAGAGCUGUCCUCCCUCUGGCCAGUGGUUAGAAAACCUGGGGACAUUUUUAGCUCCUUUUUUUAUUCAAUAAGUGAUGAAAUUCGAGGAGAAAGGGACAUUAGAAUGAAGGACCACUAUUUUGGAGUGAGAUUUAAUUAGGACCAUAUGAAAGGAAACAGUUUGAUGGGCUUCUCUUUAACAUGAAGUACAGAAAAAAAAAAACACAAGAAAAACUCAAAAUGAAUCAGAACAAAUUCAUACAUGUCAAAACCACACACAGUGACCAAGAAAAGCUUUUCUAUGGAUGGCCUUUUGGCUUGACAUCAAGAAGAGCUGCAUUUCCCUUCCCCAAAGUCCUCUGGGGUAUCUACUGCAGCUUGAUGCCUUGGGGGAUGAUGAGUCAGAGGUCUAUUCCCAUAGUUCCUAUUUCUUUUGCCUUAGAAGGGGUCUGGGAGAAGUCUUUCCAUUUUUGAAGACCUUGUUCCAUCAACUGGAAGGUGAAAUUGGUACUUUCUCUGCAAGUGCUUAAGAACAGAGAAGUUAAUUUUUGGACCUUUACUCAGUACUCACACCUACUUUCUUGAGUGAUAGGGUGACUUCAUCUCCCUUUGGGAGACUCUCAUCUCACACUCUGAAUUGCUGUGGCCUGAGUGGGGCUGGCAUCGUUCUCCAUCCAGUCUCAGGAUGACACACGACUCAAGCUUGGUCAGUUAGGGAUGCCUCUCUCUCUCUGUCUCUUUCCCUCUGUCUCUGCCACAAUGUCGGGCUCAGAGAUGGGUCUAUUGACCCAUUAGUGAGAUACAAAGAGAACUUUUGAUAGAGCCAGGGUUUCUCAGCUGGGAGAAUAUAAGCCUAGAAUUGUUCAGGAACCUGCAGAAGAAUGAAGGCCAAACAGCCCAGCAGAGCCACGUGAAGGAAGAAGGUGGGGUGAAUAUCAAGUUCUGGGACUUCCUUUGGGCCCAAGAUCUACAUGUGCCUAAAUCAAACUUGGCAAUCAUUUCCAUUUUUUUUUUAAGCCAUUUUGAGUUAAGUUUGUUUCCCUUACGACCAACUGGGUUCUGAUUAAUAUGUUUAUUUAAUAAUAAAAAUAACAAUUGAGUUCUUCUCAAGUGACAGACACUGUAAAUCCUUGCCAUGCAUUUUCAGUCAGUUCUCCCAUAAGUGAAUUAAAGGAAACAGGUUCAGAAAGGUUAAGUCACAUGCAUGAGAUCCCUCCAACAAUAGUCGUAGAUCCAGAUGCAAACCCAGAUAUGUCUGAUUCUAAAAUUCCAUCUCAACCAGCAUGGUAUCAGCUCAGCAGUGACCCGUGAUCAAAGUCAGGCCCAACAGCCGGUGGACUGCACAGUGGGAUCAUUUGUUUUUUAACUGCUAUUUACAGAGGGGUGCACUCAGGCUCACAAAUGAGCACCUACUGAGCAUGUGCAAUAUUAGGGGUCAAACUCUUCAACUUCAGUUUCCUUAUCAGUGCCUCCUUUUGUUAUCUUGUUUUGCUUUCUGAGUACCAGAACAAGGUUCAACAGAAGAAUCCCACCUGACUUCUGUGUCUUCAUUUUGCAGCCUAAGAGUGGGUGAAAUGUCUGACACACACCCUACAAGUGCUUCAACCACAAAAGAGCAGAGCUGGGGUUCUAUAAAUCCAGAGUGGGCUUUCUUUCCAUUAAUAAAAUGAAAAUAAGGAGGUCUGUCAUUUCGGCACUGUUCUUCUCUAGAGUAGGGUUUGCUUACAUUUUAUAGAACACAAGAGUUUUCUCUUGAAAAUGAAAGAAAACAGGUAAGCAUUAGCCUGGGAAAUAUGAUUUUGAGUCUACCUCGGAGGUUUGUGCUGUACUCAUAACAUCCUGUUCUUCUCAACUGGUUGUGAUGUGGUUGAUAGCAGCCCCUGCCCAGGGUGUGAACAGCUGAGCUCAGUUUUCAUAGAGAUGUUGAUGGUAAGAAGGAGGAAAUGAGCCACUUCUCCCUGCCCCUUUGUCACUCUGACAGUUAAGGAUGGGUACAGCCAGGUGCUUUGAUAGUGCACUUUCUAUUUUACCUAAAAUUAGGUCUUUCAUUCCUUUGGGAUAUUUAGUAAACUAAGAUUUUACUGGGAACCCCAAAAGUAUUAGUAAAUAGAAAAACUACAAAAAAAAAUUAAAAAGGAAAGAAAAGAAAUCAUGUGGUUAUCAAAGGAGGAAGCUGCUGAUCUGUUGAACCUUGCUCCUGUAGAGUCAGGGAAAGAAGAGUGGCUAUUGGGGAAAGAUGGGGGUUGUGGGGGGGAGGGGAAGCCUGAUACUGAGAAAAAAGUAAGUAUAAGUGAAGCCAUUUACCUUCCUAGACAAUGAGAUUUCAGACUGCUGACCUACUCCCUAAAUGGUUUUUUGGUACAAUAUGUUUAUUUAAGCUUUUAAGUGGACUUGUGUCUAACUACAUCUGUUGCAAGGAUGUAAAUGUAAUAAAGAAUAAUAUCUCACUUCUGUGGUCAGGGAGCUGACCUACAAUUAGCUCACAAGUAGAAUAGGAUUGACUUCUGCAGAUCACAUAAAAAAGACAACGUUUCCCUUCUGUCUUCUCUAUCGAGUCACAGAGUCACUGCUUGGCCAUCCAGGAGCUGGGCAAAACAGCAGGGUGUGUCUUUUGAUGGUUUCUGUUAGAGAGCACAAUGGAUGUACAGUGAUUGUGUUUCUCAUCAGGUAGUUCCAAACCUUGCCUCAUCACUGCAAGAAAGUGCUUUUUAAAUGCUUUCUAAAAAAGUUCAAGGGAAGUUCAAGAAAAUGCUUUAAGAAGAAUAGAGAGAUCUUUCGUCAAACUGAUACCUACUGAAUGGAAAUACAUCAGAACAAGGUCCGGCCAUCUAUAAUUUUAUGGAGGUGAAUCUUAUAAUGAACUGGGGAGACACUGUUCUAGUCUUCCCUCACUGGGAUAGAUAAACUCAUCAGAUUAUCAGCUUUCGCCACUCAUUCAUUGAAAUCUGGAGACAUGACUCCUGGGCAGGCCAGUUCUGUCUUCUGUUAAGGGCCCAGGUAGGAGGUAGAAGUUCAAGAUUAGAAGAAAAUGAGGGUAGUGAAAUGACAGCUGAUGCGAAUAGUCACAUGUCCAUUGAUUCAUUCAAUCAUUUAAUUAACUGCCAUUAAUUGAGCAAAAACCAAUAUUUGUCAAGCACGGUGCCAGGUGGUGGGAAACAAAUUUACCUUAGGGACAGUCACAGUUCCAUGGGCACAUUAAAAAAAAAAAUCAUACAGAGAGGGAAUGAUCAGCUCUCUCUGGAUGGGAGGAGAAGAUGUGAUAGGAAAUCAUAGAACAGGUAACACCUGAACAAGGCGUUGAAGAAUGAAAGGGAGAUGAUUUGCCUGGGAAAUAGGCAUAAUCUUUGACUGAGGCAAUAGCUUGAACAAGGACACAGAAUGGCCUGGUGGGUCUAAACAAGUCUCUGCAAUUUACUAGUACAGUGUGAGAGGAAAAAGUGGUGGGCUGUGAUUUGGUGAUUUGGCAGCAUGCACACCAUGCAGGGUCUUGGAUGCCUGUUUUGAUUUUAGGGGAAAGCACUUGGCACAACUCAGAGACCUGAACUCAUAAACAGGGAGCAGAAGAAAACAGAGGUUGCUGUUAAAGACACAGGUGAGUAGGAGCAAACUCUGGCUUUCAUUAUGCCCAUACCUUGGGAUUGGGGUUGUAGGAGUUUACCUCUAAAAUAUGCUCCAUAUAAUAAUAUGGCAACUCAUGACUUUUAGGGAAUUGCUUUGCUUUUUUCCUAAGCUGCAGAAUAUGCUUUAAAAAGAGAAAAGAGAAAAGAAAAGAAAACCACUUCUAGCUUCAAUUUUAAAAUGCCUUAAUUUGAGAGACCAUUAGUCAUGAAGGUGUUUCCAUAGCAAAUGUGUGUGGGAUGUCCUAGCUUUGUUGGCAAUGGUUCAAGGGAACUUAUAUCAUUAAAUUGGGACAAGGCCUGGCAUGAUGGCUAGAAAAUUCAUGGCACUGUUCCCAUAGCACGAGGCCUCCAUUUAAGGGCAAGAUAAAGGAAAGGCAAAGAGCAAGAGGAGAAAUGCUGGAAUGAAAACAAGUAACAAAGGAAAGAUAAAAAUGGAAAUCACAGUUCAGUGUGAAUAAUAGGAAUGCAAAUGGUGCCACUAAAAUAGGAAGGAACAUUACUUUUCAAAAAGGCAAAGCAAAGGAAAAUUGUAGUAGCAAAAGCAUUUUGCAUGGUAAAAUUGUACACUGUGUAUGCCUCUCAGAAGCAAAGCCACCUACUCUAAUUUUUCCCAGCACGAUGCCGUGAUGCUGUGAACUUGGUGAGUCAUUUUAUGAAGAUUUACUACAAAGCCCCAAUCUGCAUAUUUUUUUGUAAUACAUUUCGAUUAAAUCUUUCUUUCUUUUUUUUUUUUUUCCCAGCAGUAGCCCAAACAGCCCAUUUUAUGGCCAAAAUUUCUCAUCUGGGCUGGGAUGUAAUGCACGUUAAAAAAAAAAAAUCAGUAAGUUUAUGAAAUGAUCCCUACGGCUUUUUAUUGAGUUAAAAAAUUUUGUGCGGAGAAGUGUCUAUAGUAUGCUAGCCUUUAAGGAAAAGUAAUCUGAAUAUAAAUUUGCUUACAUUAAAAAAAAUCACAGAAAAUGUUUAUUCAUGGGAGAGUGAGGAAAUGGAAUGGAAGAGAUAGAAGCUAGAUGCAUCUGAAUAUAUUUUGUUUUUGUUUUUAUUUCAAAAGCAUAUAAAUGUUUAAUAUGAUUAUAAAAAAUUAAUCAUAAAAUGAAGCAAUUUUUUUAAUUUGAAAGGAAAAUGAUAUAAAUAAAACCAAAUCUCAAAUGAGUGGCUUAAUCUCAUGCAGAAAUUAUUUCAAGUGACGCAGUCUAUAGAUAUACCCUAAGAAAAAUGGAUAAUUCACUGUUGGUGGGAAUGUAAAUUAGUAUAGCUAGUAUGGAAAACAGUUUGGAGGUUCCUCAAAACACUAGACAUAGAAAUACUAUUUGAUCCAGCAAUCCCAUUGCUGAGGUUAUAGCCAAAUGAAAGAAAAUCAGCCUGUCAAAGAGAUAUUUGUAUCCCCAUGUCUAUUAUUAUUCUUAGCAGCCAGAAAAUGGAAUCAGCCUAAAUGAUGUGGAUGAAGGAUAAAGAAUAUGGCAUAUGUACCCAAUGGUGUAUUACUCAGCCAUAAAAAGAAUGAAAUCUUGUCAUUUGUGACGACAUGGUUAAAGCCUGGGGGACGUUAUGUUAGUUGAAGUAGUCCAGCACAGAAUGGCAAACAUUCUUUGUUCUCAUUCAUAUGUGGAAGCUUAUCAGCAAAUUGAUUUCAAAGAAGCAAAGUGUAGAACUGAGGUUAUCAAAGGUUGGGAAGGGUGGGGUGGUGGUGGGAUAAGGAGAGAUUGACUAAUGGUACAAAAUUAUAUCCAUAGAAGACAAAUUUUAAGUUCUAGUUUUCCGUAACACAGCAGGGUGACUAUAGUUAGUGAUAAUUUAUUAUAUAUCCUAAAAUAGAAGAGAGAAUUUUAAAUGUUAGCACCACAAGGAAGUGAUAAAUAUCUAAGGUGAUGGAUAUGCUAAUUAUCCUGAUUUGAAUAUCACUUAUUAUUGAAAUAUCACACUGUACACCAUAAAAUGUACAAUUAGUAUGUACAAUUAAAAAGAAAUCAAGCUGUUUUCUUAAUAUUAUUGUUGGUGAUAAUAUUGUGUUUGUUUACUUCCUUUCCUCCCUUUCAUCAUUUUUUUUCUUCCUUAAAGAUAGAAAAAUUUGGCCAUCAAUAAAAUAGUACCUGCAAUAAAUUGAAACACAUCAAGUAUAUUUAAACCUAUAGAGAUAUUAAGACAUGUGUGUAGGUGCAUCUCAAAAGCCAAAGACCAUUGGUCAUCUUUGGAGGGUGUUGGAUAAAUAACUCACAAAUUUGAGAACUAGCAAAUGAAGGGAAAACAUUGAAAAUGUUGUUUUUUUUCUGUAUAUACUAUAUCACUGGGUAACCAAAUAGAAAAUAAUUUGAUUUGAAUCAGAAAAAUGAAGCAAAAUUUGUGGAUAAUUAAAGGAAUGUUAACAAUGAUUGAAUAGUUAGCAAUACUUUGUACUUACUGUUAAUUAUCUUUAUUUUUGAUAAUUAAUUGUGAUGAUAUAUAAGAAAAUAUUCUUAUCUUUGAAAUAUGUAUAUGGGGGUGGUAUACACUAAGCAAUGUGAUAUCUUGAGUUUGCUUUAAAAUAACUUAGUGAUAUUGAGGGGAGGGGUAUUAGGUGAGGGUAUAUAUAAAACAGAAUUGACCAGAGGUUUAUAAUUAUUGAAGGUGAUGCAUGGCAUUUAUGAUCCUAUUAUUUCAUUUUUUGCAUAUAUUCGAAUUUUUCACUUAAACAGCUUCAAAUAGAUUAAUUGCUUUGCUCAUCUUUCUGGCCCUAUAACCUGAUAAUCCUGCUUUCCAGUGUAUUUUUAUGUUCAUGUGGGCAAGUAUUCAAUAAAUGUGUGGAGACCAGUGUUCUGUUGUUGUUGACAGAGUCUCUGUAGCAUUAUUCAAUGUUCUCAUUCUGGAUGAUUGGACCAGUAGAGAAAUUGAUUCUCAGCACUAUUCAAGCCAGUUAGUAGGUAGGUAACUCCUUGUGGGCAGUCAUGAACUUUCAGACAUCUGUGGUCUGGAGUACUUUUUUGAAUUACAGAAAGCGUUGCUUCUCAACCCAACUGCUCCCAAAUUGGCAUGAUAUAGCCUCGUGACUGAUUUAAUUAACUGCAGAGAGACUCAGUCAUUAAUUAUUUUACCAGAAAGCAGUUGAGCUUAUGAUUACCUUUGUUUCUUUAUCAGCCAAACUCAUGUUUCAGUACAUCGAGUUAGGUCACUUGGGGGUAUUUGCUGUCAUUCUGAAGGCUUUAAUCUGUACAAUCCUUCAAUUAUGAUACGUUUUCUUAUAUGAAUUCAUUGGUAGCUCCUGCCAGGUUUAUUUCUUCUGAAAGAAUAAUUCUCAUCUCUGAUCUCCUGAACUGAUCCUGAAUUGUCCUCCCCCCACUUAUGAUUGCUUUCCACCUCUAUUAUUCUCUUCUAACUCCUGUGCAGUUUCUACACAGGAAAUUGUGCUUUUAAUUCUGUUUAUUUAAUUUCUUUUGUUUCUGCAGACAGAAAGAAUUCUUCAUUUUAUUUCUGGUGGUUUCUUUAAAAAAGAGAGAGAGAGAAUCAUAUUGUUUGUCACUUAUUUCAUGGAUAAAAUAUCUUCCAAUGUUUAUCUCCCAGUGUCAUUUCUUAAAAGUUUUCUUCUGCUCUCUGCAUUAUCUCUGUUUCUGCAGUUUUGUGUAUUCAUUGUUGUUGUUAUUGCUACUAUUUUUGUCUUUGCUUCUCAUAUUUGCUAAUCCUUGGUUGGCUAUUCACAUCUAAGAAUGAUGCUCUAAAUAGCUGUUGAUUGCUGUGUGCAUUGAGGCUGAGUCUUAUUGACUGCUGAACUCCUUAGUAACCAGAGUAGACAGAGUUUUUUUUUUUUUUUUUUAUAACUGAGGGUCCCCAAGGGUGACAUUUAAACAUAUUGAACGUCUUAUAUGGUCUAGGUGUCAUUCAGUCAGAGGAGACAUCCAGCCAGUCAGGAUGCAUUAACCAUAAAGGGCUCAUAUAAGAAUACUGUAUAUAUAGGCUGAAUUCAACCCUAUAAGUAGGGUUUUCCUUUGGGCCUAAUGGUUUCCUUAGAGAGGGCUUUUUCAGACUCCUGUCUUGGUGAAAUAGAAAUAAUAAUCCUGCUGCUGAGGUUGGAGGGAUCCCAGAAUUUUAAUGCAGUCUUUCAUUGAAUCUGCUCUGUUCCUUGUCCCUGAAACAUAGAACUUUUGUGAUUCAAUGUUUUCAGAAUCUUUUUUUCUGGUCUUCUUCAGGUAGGUAUGAAGUAAUCACCUAGUUAUUGGUAUGGGGAAAAUUUUGGGGUUCUUAUGCCUUUCUCAUUUUCAGAGAUGAAACUCCAAUUGAUUCCAAUCAUUCUGGGUUUCUUUUGUGUAAAUUGUCUUGCUUCCUGUUGUCAGUCCCAAACUAUUAAAUCAGUUACCACUUAUCCAACCACUUUCUUCUCUUUUUCUGUCCUGUGUCUUGGUCUCCAUCUUUCUCUUUUUAUUUUACAAACCUCAUUUGCUAUCAUUUCUUUUCAAAUUCUCUUUGCUCUUAUUGGUUUCAAACAUCUGUUUGUUUAUGUAUAUGUAUGUGAGCGUGCUAUGUGCAUGUUUAAUUUCCUUUAAAGUUUUUAGCAGUAUUCUAAAAGGAAAUAAAAUAAAUCUGUAAAGCUAAUCCAUUAUGUUUAACUAGAAGUUUUAUUUUAAAUUUGUAAGAUCUUUCUUCAAACAUAAUUAGUUUUUGACUGCAGAGUUCAUCAGCAUUUGUAUGUUCCCAGAAAGCAAAAUGAGAGUGAUAAGUAUUUUCAUUUUCCUCUGCCUGACCACCUUCAAAUUUGGGAUCAUUUGAAAUUUUAAUUUCAAAUCAUAAUAAAAAUAAUAACUUUUACUAGUAUGCACCAAUGAUUUGAAAUGAUUUAAACUGAACAAUACACAUUUAAUUGUUUUUCUCUUGCCAUGAUUUCUUAAAUCCCAUAUCAUUCUUUUUCUGGCUUCUUAGUUGGAGGAUGUAUAAAUGCUUGUACUCAUUUGAAUUGAUUCAGAUUAUAGGAGCUUGUCUGCAAUGACUGUGGGGACAGAACAGGACAGCCUAGCAGGAGGAGAUGGAGCCUCUCACUGUCCUCCAGGGUAUCAUCACUAGGUCCCUGUGAUAGUGAAUGGCCCCCUCUCUUGGGUCUCAGAGCUGGCACUAAUGUGCUUUAGCCUGUGGGCAAUCUCUGUUCUCUGGGCUGGAUGACCAGGCAGUUGCUCAAAAUGCACUGCACGGAUUAAUCUCGGAGACAACUGUUCCUUCACAUCCUUCUGCCAGAAGUUCCCAUAAUCCCCGUCAUCUCCACACUGCUUCUCUCCUCAGAGUUUUUCUGUUGUCUUAUUUUGCCAAGAACUUGAUGCUCUCUGUUCUGUAUCUUUUAUGAUGAUCUCAACAUCUUUGUUGUUGACAUCACGAUUUCUUCUUUGCCAGAGCUGUCUGAAUGUGUUUAAUAUAUUCAGUCAUGUCAGAAUAAUUGGGACGGGAGAGAAAGUGUGUUCAGUCUGCUGUUUGUUCCUAUUUGUAUACACACACUCUCACACACGCACAGUAUAAUGUUCCUGUUAACCAACUUGUCUACUAUUGUUUACUGUUUCAAAAAGAAAAUUGACUUAGUUUUUCCGUCUUUUGAUCUUAUCAUUUAAAAAAAAUGUUUAUCUUUCAUUUUGCUUAGUAUGAUCCAACCUGAAAUCCUUUAUAACAAGCCUCAAAUAAAACAACAACAGAAUCUUAACUCUGAUAUUCACUUAUUGCAUAUACUCUGUCAGGUGUCAAAGAAUGCAUCUGUAAAGACAUGGCCACAUAAAAGAGCCGAAAACUUUUGAUCAAAGAAAGUCAGGUUGUCCAAAACAGUUUUCUUCCUAGGGGGUGUUUUUAUUUUAUUUAUUUUAUUAAUUUUUUUAGAACAGUUUUCUGUAAAUAUACUAAUCUUAAAAGGUCUAUGUUCCUUCAGGGAGACUGAUACUUGUUCUUCCCAUAUUUUUCAUUGGUGAUCACCCCGUUAUCUGCAACUUUAUUACUAAAUUUAUUUUUUGGCACUUUUAUCCAUAUAGAGAAUAAUUGAUAUAUUUUUUUUUUUAGAAAAUUAGGUUUUCUAUAAAAUAGAUUAUUUUUAAAGAAGUAUAGCUGUGCUGUUUAAAUGUUAUAGGUUGGCUGUGAGGUGUCCCCCAAAAGCUCAUGUGUGAGACAAUGCAAGAGGUUUAGAGGAGAAGUGAUCCCUGAUGGGAUUAACUGAGUGGUUACUGAAGGUGGGAAGGGUGUGGCUGGAGGAGGUGGGCAUUGGGGGGAAUCCCUUUUGGGUAUAUAUUUUUUAUCUGGAGAGUGGAGUCUCUCUCUCUCUUCUUUCUGAUCACCAUGUGAGAUGCUUCCCUCUGCCACACUCUUCUGCCACAAUGUUUUUCCUCACCUGAAGCCCUGAGGAAUGGAGCUGCCCUUCUAUGGACUGAGACCUCUGAAACCGUGAGCCCUCAAAUAAACUUUUCCUUCUCUAAAAUUGUUCUUGUCAGGUCACAGCAGCAAAAAACCUGACUAAAACACUAAGGUUUGCUGUUUUCAUUUAUUGGUGUCAAAUUAUUGCUUUCGUGACAGAAUCCCACCUCUGAAAUUAUAAUGAUAAACCUAGGAACAUAAGUUAAUUUAUAGAAUUUCAUUUCAGACACUCUGUGGUAGGGUUAGCAUGAUUGCAUUGUUUGAAAUGAAUGCAUGCCAUGAAGCCUGGUGCACUUAAAUGACUUGCUUCUUUCUUUCAAGAAACCGAUUUAAAAGUUUAGUAUCAUUGCUUCUACAAAUUCAGAAAGACUGAUCAGUGCAUAAACAACAUUUGGUUAAGCAGAAAGAUCUUCACAUGUUUAAAAUGUUCACGAGUGGAGGUCUAUUUAAUGGGAGCAGGUUCACACUAGCAUUCCACGACCUAACUGAUUCCUGGGCUCUUGGCAAGAUGUUUUUCCUUUAAUGUACAUGAUUUAUGUUAUAGUACACAUAUGAUUCAUGCAUACUUCUAGACUUGGCAUGGAGCCUGUUUUGCUGUGUAUAUUAUUGUCUUACCAGAUCUCUCUGUUCCUGGGACCUACACCAAGUCUUAUUUAGAUUAUAGGGAAAAUAAGGGCAUUUUGCUGCUGUUACAAAAUAAUCCUUGCAAGUGUUUCAGUGUUUACAUGAGAUAACAGUCCUACAGAAAGAAAUGCCAGUUAUAUCUUCACAGCUGUGUGGCACCACCCCCAGCAGCCAGAGAAGGUGGAGUAGGUUUCAUAGCUCUUUCCUCCUGCCACACUUUAAACCAUGUGACUCAAGCUAAGAUGACACCAAAUUUCAGGAGAUAUAAAUGUGUUCUUAGAACAUGGAAUGAACAUAUUAAAUUUCUGUCUUGCUUUUGAAGAAAUUUACACUAUUUUAAAUAAAAAAGUCAACAGAAAAAAUAAUUAGUUGAUAUCGACUCAAAUACGAUAAACUCAUAUAUUUUAUUUAAUUCAACUAUUUUAUUUGGAAUUUAUUGGUGUCUUGUAUGUACUUACAGUGGAACCUUUUUUUAAAAGGAACGGUUUUUGAUUCAUAUUAUUAUGUUAUAAUCAGGAACUUUCUCAAGAUCAGACAAGGUGAAUCCGAAAAUACAAAUUUGUGAUUUGUGAAAAAGUAUAUUAUAGUUAGAGUGUUCAUGUUCGUUUCAUAGAACCCAUUAACACGAAACAGAUUUUCGACAAACAGUUCAACUUAAUUGUUUCUUGUCUAAAAAGAAAGACAAACGAUAUAUCGUGAUCACCUUCUAAACUAAUGACAUAUGGUAGUACUGGACGUAUUACUGUGAAAAUAGUCGAAACCUGACACAUAUACUACCACCAGGGUACCUAAUGUAACGGUUCACUGUAGUAUCAACAUGUUCAAACACGUGAAAUACUACACCGUACUGUUUUAAGGUAUCGUUGUGUAAAAAGUCUUACACAGGGACAGUACUUCGUUACUCAUCAACUUUUGAAAACGGAAGUUCUAAAAAAAUUCAGUACAAGUACACACACAUACAUACACCCUCUCUCUGUAUCGCUCUCUUAAAAUUUUCGUUUGAUGAUAGAGAUACGGAAACCAUUUAAUCGUGAGGAUUUUUUUUUUUUUUUCUUGUCCGUGGAAUGUUGAACAGAACCUUUCCCCUCGUGUCUUAGUCCUUUAGACUCAAGAGGAAGGUGGUGACUACACGGAGACCCACACUACAACUUCUUUGUAAAAGACCCUGAACCGAAGGACUAGAAUUUUACUCUCUCUUAUCCUAAAAUAAUGUUUUGCCGAAGGGUUGAGAGUUUAAAGUGUUAAGAGACUUUAUUUUACUCAAAAGAAUCAAGUGACUAGGAAUGUUUUAUUUUACUAUUACAAAUCAUCAGUAUUGGUAACCUUACUAAACAAUAUAGUAAAAGAAGAGGUCUUCUUUCCGUACGCUUAACAUCAAACAGGAUGUCCUGAGUCAGAUGUAACUCUUUAUUAAAAAAAAAAGAAGAGGUAGUUGAAUCGUUCGGAAUAGUAAAACCUUGCAUAAAAGUCAGAAAACCUAUAACAUUAGUUUUAACGUCAAUGUGGACAAAUGGUUUUAGCUGUGUAGUAUAUUAUUUCUAAAAUUUUUAAUAAAAGAGACUCUCCUUAUUAUAUCAAGCAUGAGUAUAUAUACUCAUGCUUGAUAUAAAAUAAUAUAUAUAUAUAUAUAUAUAUAUAUAUAUAUUAUUUUAUCAUACAUAUAUAUUAUACGUAUAUAUACGUAUAAUAUAUAUAUCAUACAUAUAUAUAUGUAUGAUAAAAUAAUAGACAGAAAUAUAGUCUGACAUUUUUUUCUUGUCCGUGGAAUGUUGACAGUGUCCUUCAUUCAAGGUCCUUCGUCCCUAGUGAAGACAAAUCAAGUCAUUUACAUCCUUGAGUUUAACAUGGAGGCUGCCUAGCUCCUAGAGUGUAUUUACAGAAAUUUAGUUGAUGAGGCUGACUGGGGUGGUUCUAUAUCAGAGACCAUAUGUCAUCAUGGAAUCAUCCCAGAAUUUUCCAUAAAGAAAAUAUAUGGCUCACAUGAAGUCUGAGUUCUUUGGUUUGUAUUGCUGAUGGGGCCACAUUUUUAAUUUUUUUAUUUUCGAAGCUAUUGAUGUUCUCCUUUUGGAGGAGAAUGGAGAUGGCAUUGAUCUGGCAUGAUCAAUUUUUCACAACCCCUAGGUGUGAGAGAGUUUUUAGAUGUUUCCUGUUUGGGCUUUGAUCUGUAGAGAAAGGCUAUUUAUAAACCAGACUUCAGCAGCAACCUUGUGAGGUCUCCUUUGUCCCUUUCAUGUGAACUUCGAUGACUUCAUAUUAGUCCCUAACCUCCAUUUACUGAAGUACUUGGCCGAGCCAUCUGACUCAUCACCCUGUACAAGGACAGUGUGACUCACACCAAUAAGCCGGAAGCAGGCCUGAAUUGAGGCAAGGCCAGAGUCAGGACACAACUAAUAGAUGCUGGAAGUGUUGACGGAAACCACUCUUGCAGAGGAACAAUGCGGGCUGAGCUUCAGUUGCCGGCUAUGACAUCAUGACCGAGAGGUGAGCACUCCCUUGCAUCAGAUAUUUUAAUUGUUUGCUUUAUAAUUUUCUUUCAAAAAUCCUGUUAACUGCUCAUGCUUAGAUGCUAGCAGUUCAAUGAUACUUGUUUGAAGAAUUCUGCCAGGAUUAGGGUUAUAAUCUCAAAUCCCCUUCCUUGCAUUCUUUCUUAGUCCCUCCCUCCCUCCCUCCCUCCCUCCCUCUUUCUCUCUCUUCCUCCCUCCCUUUUUUCUUGCCUCCCUUCUUGCUUCUUUCUUUCCAUCAGGGUGUCACAGUGAACGAGCUUGAGUUUGAGUCAGGCAGUUAGUUAUUAUCUAGAAUCUUGAUUGACUUGGCCAUUUUCUUCUGAAUCACUUUAACCUCUCUGAGGCUCGGUUUCCUACCUGUUAAAAGGCAGAUAAUACAUCACAGUGUUGUAGGGAGGCUUAAGUAAUGUCUUAUGGAUAGCUACUAUUUAUUAAACACCAAAUAGAUGCAUUAUCUAAAGUAGUCUUCACAGUAACUUUUCAAGAAAAGUGUGUGGUACAUGGUGGGUGACAUAAAUAACAAGGUGGGGAUCAUCAUACCUUUCACCUCCACAGUUGCUGCUACCAAAGUGAAACAUGUCAGUCACUCACAUAGUCAUUCAACAUGCAUUCCUUGAGAAACUUCUAUGUACCAGGUAAUGUAGAUUACUCAAGGGAAAAAUGAAAGGCCAAGAAUAAGGAAAAAUUACUAACUUUGAAGGGUUAUAAUUAGCAGAGAUUAGAAAUAAACACAAUCAAAACUGUGAAGAGUCCUGUGAGAAUAAGAAAUGCAGACUGGGUGUGGUAGGAUGGGCCCUGGAUUCCAAUUUGGGAAGUUGAAAGAGGGUUCCCUGCAGGAAAAAUCACACAUUCACACUGAAAAAGGAAGGAUAAAUAAAUGGGAAUUAGAGGUUAGAGUGUGUUCUAGAGAACUGUAUUUGCAAAAAGGUAUUGGGUUGAGAGGGGCUUCGACUCAGGAGAGAAAUCAAAAGUAGUUCUUUCUGGAAUUUGAAGCGGUGAAUGAUGAGAGUAGAAGCUAGUGAUACGCAGGACUUCCUGGUCACAGGAGGGUUAGGGACUCGUCUCAGGGAUGCCCUGUAGCUGUUACUGAGUUCUCAGUCUCUGUCCCUUAUCUUAGUUUGGGGACAAGAGCCCUACUGUGCUGCUGACCACCUGAACCUCUGAUAUGAGUGGGCAGAGGGUGAUGUGGCUAACCCCACCCUUGUGUAAUCUCUUGCCUGUGUUCUUGGUUCUGAGAGACAAAGGCGUCUCUUGCUAGUUACGGGGCUGGAUGCUGUGGGUCAGUUGGCUCUCUCUAUCGUCCCUACCCUAAUCUUGAGAAGUACUGAGCUAUGGCUCCACGAGGUUCUCAUUCAGGCUCCUUGUAGCCAGCACUGUACAGUCAGGAGUGCCCUCAGAGCAAGCUUCAGAAUCUGUCAGCUCUCACACCACAUGGCCUUCGGGAAUCUCCAUGCCAUUAGAAAACCUGAGCAAGCCAGACUCUGUGACGUGAUAGCCUAAUUACCAUUUCCCUUUUUUUUGGGAGUGGAGAGAGAAAUGACAUAUAGAUCAAUGAGUGAGGUGGAAGACUGAUUCAUUUAUUGACUCACAGAGAGUUUUUCCUUGAGCCAGUGCAACAGAAAGGACCAUCCUUGUAGCUGGGUCUGCCCUGGAGUGUUGAGAAGUCUGAACUGUGCCCAAGGCUCAGAGACAGAAAAACAAAGAGGAUGUUUAGCAACACGUCCCUCCAUGCUCACCUUGCUCUUGUGCAGGCAGUCCAGAGAUAAUUAACUCUGAGGAAGGUGACCCUAUAUUCAUUGUCCAUGUGCAGACAUUUUAAGAGUGAAAGGGGCUGCUUUUAAUUGGUAUAUUGGGAUGCCAGGCAUAAACGGGGAAUAUUGUAGGCCAACCAGACAUAUGGUUGUCCUAACCACAUGAUUACCUAGUAGUCAUUGGCCUGAUGACUACUCCCUAGUUGGUGCUCUCUGUGCUUAAGGAGAGAUCCUAGGGCCAAGAUGUUUCUGGAUCUUUUUUCUGCAUCUAUUUUUUUUUUCUACAUUCUCAAAGGCAGUUUUUGGAACAUUCUUCAUUUUUUUGAGAUCCUUAUGUUUCUGAGAGGUCAGUGUUAGCCAAUUUAAUCCAAGACAACUGAUUUCUAUUCAAAGCAGAGGAAGGGAGUGGUUAAAAUGGACAGUUUGAAGGGAAGAUAAUUUCGAAAAGGACAACUUCAGCUGUAUCUUCAGGCUCCUUAUAAUCCUUUGGUAAUUAGAAUGUGCAGGCUGAGACAUCAAUUUUAAAAUCAUCUUACCCAUAAAUCAUCUAUCACACAUUAUUAGCUCGGAUGACACAAGUCUACAUGAGUGGGGAUCAUUAUUUUUGUUAUUAUUGUUUGUCCAGAGGGGUGACAAGGAAAAAUAUACAUCACACUCACCUCCCAGACAAGAGUUAAGCAGGUGCUUUUUUGAUUUAUAAGGUGUUUCCUUCUAAACAUAUUUCUUAGUAAAACAAUUUUUAAAAUGUCAUUUUCCCAUGAAGCCAACACCAUCACUGAUGUAGUAUUUUCCUGCACCUCAAAUUAAGCAGGCCGUGGGAGAAUUUGGUGACCAAGUGUCACUGUCACUUAGCAUUUCUCUCUCCAUUACAGUGUAAUAUAAUAUAGUGUAGUAUCGUAUCGUAUCAUAUCAUAUCAUAACAUUUUUAGCAUUCUGUAGCAGAGACUCUCAGUUUAGGGUGGUUUUGCUAUCAGUGGACUUUGAUCAUGUUCCACACGGUUUUGCUCGCUCCCACAGGGGUGGGUGCUAUUUGCAUCUAGUUCUUAGGAGCCAGUGAUAUUGCUAAACAUAUUAGAAAGACACAGGACAGCUCCCCUCGCAAACAAAUUAGUUACCUGGACAUAAAUGUCAAUAAUGCUGAACUUGAGAAACUCCUCUGUAACAUCUUAAUCCUUAAUUUAUUCAUCCAACCAUUAUUUACUGAGAACCCACUAUGUUCCAGUCGUUAGAAAGCUGAGGAUAUUGGGGUGAACAAAACUGGAGAAAAAGUUUUCACUUUUGUUUUUCUUUGGAUUCUAAUAGGAGGAGCAGGUAAGAAAGAAGAUAAAUAACUAAAAUAUUGAGCAUAUCAGAAAGUUAUGUGUAGAAGGCAAAAUAAAAAAUAUAGCUGAGCAGUGGGGAGGGAAUGUCAGUAGAGAACAGUGAGAUUGAAGGCUGAGGUCACUAGCCAAGGUAAGUGCAUUUCUCACUGAUUGCAGAUGAAGGAUCUGAGUGAAGGACUGAGAGAUAAGGCUAGGACUCCAGGUUGGAAGUUUCUGACUCUUUGGUGAUCUAAAAUGUUAUUUCCACUAGGCUGUUUUAUAUAUUAUUGCCAAAAGCCAGGGUUGUCCUUGCUUCCUUUUGAUGAAUUUCCUCUUUCUUAACUCACUGAUAACCACCUCCAGCCCUACCCAAAGCCUUCAUUUCUAGCAUCUAUGCUUUUGUUGCUCAGAACAUUUCUGGACUGUAUCCUCGUCCUAGACUCAUUACCAUCAUUAAAUGCACUCAACUCAAUGCUCUCUUCUGUUGAAACAAGAAAAACAAAAUAGAGCUGGGGAUGUAGCUCAAUGGUAGAGCACAACCCAGCAUGUUGUGGCUCUGGAUUCUAUCUCCAUCCCUGAAAAAAAAAAAAAAGACAACAAUAACAACAACAACAAAACAUAAAAAUGAAAAGAAAAAGUCCCAAAGCCCCAAUCUUAACCCUAAAUGCUGCUCUGGCCUCAUUUCUCCUUCCUUUCAUAGGUAAGUAUAAAAAGAUGCUCCAACACAUCGCAUGAAAAAAUGCUCAACAUCUCUAGCAAUUAGAGAACUGCAAAUUAAAACUACACUGAGAUUUCAUCUCACUCCAGUCAGAGUGGCAAUUAUCAAGGAUAUAAGCAACAAAAUGUUGGUGAGGAUGUGGGAAAAAGGCACACUCAUACAUUGCUGGUGGGACUGCAAAUUGGUGCAACCACUAUGGAGAACAGUAUGGAGAUUCCUCAGAAAACUUGGAAUGAAACCACCAUUUGACCCAGUCAUCCCACUCCAUGGCCUAUACCCAAAGGACGUAAAAUCAGCAUACUAUAGUGAUGUAGCCACAUCAAUGUUUAUAGCAGCGUAAUUCACAAUAGCUAAACUAUGGAACCAACCUAGGUGCCCUUCAACAGAUGAAUGGAUAAAGAAAAUGUGGCAUAUAUACACAAUGGAAUAUUGCUUAACCUUAAAGAAGAAUGAAGUUAUGGCAUUUGCUGGUAAAUGAACGGAAUUGGAGAAUAUUAUGCUAAGUGAAAUAAGUCAAUCCCAAAAAACAAAACGCAGAAUGUUUUCUCUGAUAUGCAGACGCUAACAGUAAGGAAGGCGGUAGGGAAAAAUAGAAGUAUUUGGAUUAGACAAAUGGGAAUGAGGAGAAGGGAGGGGAAAUGGGAACAGGUAAUGUAGUAGAAUGAAUUGUACCUUGCUAUCCUAUGUGUGCAUAUGAUCACACGACCAAUGUAAUUCUACAUCAUGUACAAUCAGAAGAAUGAGUUAUACUCUAUGAUUGUAUAUGUCAAAAUACAUCCUACUGUCCUGUAUAACCAAUAAGGACUAAUAAAAAAGAAAUAUUCUCCAUAUGUGCUUUCUCCAUUCUUUACAUUCCCCAAUUGACUUGUAACGUCCGUUGAGGUCACCAAGGACCCCAUGAACUCCACCUGUGCAGGCUGUUUAAUCGGUGGCUCUUUCUUCCUAGGUCCCUGGCCACAGCGAUUUCUGCCCAGGCCCAUUCUCUAUUUGUAUCUCACCUGCUUCCUCUCCCUUGACUUCCAUCUCGUAGCUCUCUGGGGUUUCUGUCUUCCUCUGACUUCUCCUUCCAGGGAACCUUCAUGGGUUCCUCUAUCAUUCCUUGACUCACAGGUGUCCCCCAGCAUCCUGUCCUCUGCUUUCUUUUCUCAUCAACUGCGGCUUGUACAAAAGUUUUGUUUAGAGAAAUCCGAAGCCCUGUGACAUAGUUUGUCAUUUGCCUAGACACGGGUGUGAUGUGUGGGCAUGAGGACCAUCUCUGAGGGGAAUGCAGCAAAGUAUCCACUAUUUUCUCCCUUUACAGCUCAGGACCCUGCUCAGGGUCCACAAUGCUACCCUCAGCUGGAUGCUUGCCAGAGCACAGCAAGAGGAUGGUAAGAGCUCUCUAAUGGGUCUCUGUCGUCCCAAUUGUAGCUCCUUCCUUUGCUCUUGAACCUGGUCAUGACCCAGAUUCCACCCCUUCAUCUUUCAUGACACAGCCCCCCUCCACUCAUGUUUUCAUGCUACUGCUCAGUUCCCUAUCUGCCUGCACUUCCUCCCCUCCCCACCCCUGCUCCACACAGUUGACCUUGGGAAGUCCUUCUCAUUCUGCAAGGCUUACCUCAAACAUCACUUUUGUGUCCCUUUCUAGAUUUCUAGAAAAAAAUUUUUAUCUCAUAUAUAUACUCCCAUGCCACCCACAUCCAAUUAGGUUGUACAUUCCUUUAGGGCAUAUAGAGGAAGACUCAAGAGCAAAGUUUCUGUCCCCAAGAAAGCUGAUCCAUGAAGCAAGUAUUCACUGUUUUCUCAUUUUAUAGCUUCCAUGAUGCUCCAAAAUCCAAAUUUUAAAAUGUCUGAUACUAACUUGCUGUGUGACUCUGUAUGUUUCACUUAAUGUCUCUGAGCUAUAAUUUUAUCAAACCAUAUUCUGGCAAAUAAUAUUCUCAUUCUAACUCAAAGAAAUAUAUAAAAUUCUUUGAGUGUUUGGCAAAAAGAUGCCAUAAACCAAAGACAAAAUACAUGAUCAUUCACUGAAGAUUCUAUGUAACAUUUUUUAUUGUCAGACAUUUUGUUCAGAUCCCAACAAAGUGUAACUGUUUCCAAAGAAAAAUGUGACCUCUAUGUAUCUUUAAAAUUUGAAGCCACUCAUAACAUAACAAAACUUUGCCACAUAAUUUUUUUUUCUUGUGCGUGAGAUAGUCACUCAUCUUUUUCUUCCCUUUGUUCCUAAUUUUUUUAAAAAAAACUGAAGAUUUGCCUUUUACUUCCUUUCCCUUUCUUUCCCCCCUAAAGGGAAAGCAUUUCAUGUCAGAGGCAGAAGUAGAUAAAAUUAUGUGCUAGAUCUUGAUCUAAAUUUCUCUUAAAUCACCAGCAGCACUGUCACAGCCUGAAGAAAAGAAAGUGAAGCAAUGAUGACGGAGGAGUUUGAAGAAAAAAAGAUGUAAAGACGAAUGCUGGCUAACUUCAUUUACUUCAUUGUUCUAAAUUUUAGGACUCAAAUUAAUUUCUAGAAUAUUUUGGUGAAAUGGGAAAAUGUAAAUGUGUGCCAGUGAAUAAUUGUAAAAGAAAAUAACACAAGGGGUGGAAUUUUCUAUCAGAAUCUCACAAAAGUGGGCACUUUUGUUUCCUAGGGAAAACAUCCAUGAAACUAGCUUCAUCCAUGGAGAGAGAGAGAGAGAGAGAGAGAGAGAGAGAGAGAGAGAGAGAGAGAGAGAGAAAGAGAGAGAGAGAGAGAAUAUAGAUUUACUGAUUGCAUACCUGUGCUAUGUGUUCAUCUAACUUACUUCAUUUAAUAGUUUAGUUCAAUAGCUCUAUGAAGCUUAUUUUUUGUGCAAAACCAGCUAGAGUUCACUGCAGUUAGUGGUAAGUAGAGUCAAAUGAGGAACCUAUGGUUUUCUGGCUUCAACACCAUACCACAUUGAUGUCUUAUCAUAUAGAAAAUAAGUGUCAUGGCCUUAUGCAAUUUAUAAUCCAGAAAAGAAAUCCAAAUGUCUCUGUAAGAUGCAGAGGUGGUGCCACAUAUUUUCCUUUAAAUACUAUAAAAUAACUCCAUGUAUACAGUUAUGAACAGUCAGCCACACUGUUGGGAGGACAUUGUUUUGUUUCCCCUGGGCGGUGAUGUAAAAAUGGAGAUGCUACUUUGCUAACUUUUUUUUUUUUUCCAGCAGACAGUGUAACAUGUCACACGGAUUCAACCUCUUCACUCGCUGUGCAAAUUUGGUAAGAUAUUUUAUUUAUCUUAGGCUCAGUUUCCAUUUGCAAAUAUGAGACAAUGAUCUUUUCCUUGUAGGCCUGCUCUAAGAACUUAAGAGUUACUUGGAUUGUGCGUAGUCCUCAAAAAAAGGGUGGUUGUGAUGGUUUGUGGCAGUCAUUAUUGACAUGUAUUUCCAUGCAUUUGGAGAACUUUGAUGGGAGAUCUGACUGUGACCCUUAAUGGGGCUUCUUCUAUAUUCACUGACCAAUGUUGCUUGUUAUGGUUUGGAUCUAGAAGUGUCCCCCAAAAGCUAUGUGCUAGGAAACAGAUCCGUGUUCAGAGGUGAAAAGAUUGGGGAAUGAGGCCUAUAACUUCAUCAGUGGAUUAAUCAACUUGAUGGAUUAGUGAUUUGAAUGAACUACAGGGUGAUAACUGUAGGCAGGUGGGAAUGGAAAGAAAUAGGUCACUGGGGGCGUGCCUUUAGGCACUAUAUCUUGUCCCUGGCUCUGCAUGCUCUCUCUCUCUCUCUCUCACUCUCUUUCUCUCUCUCCUUCCUGAGUGCCAUGAACUGAGCAGUUUUUGGCCUCUACCACCCACUUCCACCAUGAUGUUCUGCCUCACCUCAAACCCAGAACAAUGAAGAUGACUGACCAAGGGCUGAAUCUCUGAAACAGUAAGCCAAAAUGAUAUUUUUCCUUUUCUAAAUUGAUCUUUUGUUGUUGUUGUUGGUACUGGAAAUUAAAUUCAGGGGUGUUCAACCACUAAGCCACAUUCCUAUCCCUAUUUUGUAUUUUACUUAGAGACAGGGUCUCAAUGAGUUGUUUAGAGCCUCACUUUUGCUAAGGCUGGCUUUGAAUUUGUAAUCCUCCUGCCUCAGCCUUCUGAGUUGCUGAGAUUACAGGUGUGCACCAUGGUGCCUGAACUAAGAUGUUCUUGUCAGGUAUUUUGGUCACAGUAAUGUAAAGCUGACUAACAGAGUGCUGGGCCGCAUGAUGUGUGCACCAAAGUGCUAAGUAAUUGGGUAUGUAUAGAACAGAUAGCAGGGAGGGGAGAUAAUGGAAAGAAGGAACCAAGAGUUCUUCUAAAAGAACAGCUCGCCAUUGGUAUUUGCUGGCUCUGUAUCUGUAGAUUCAACCAACUGCAGACCAAAAAUAUUGAAAGAAAAAUUGUGUUUGACUGAACAUGUACAGAUUUUCCUUUUCAUUAUUCCCUAGACAAUGAAGUAUAACAACUAUUCACAUAACAUAUACAUUAUGUUAGAUAUUAUAAGUAAUCUGUGCAGAUUAUAUGCAAAUGCUGUUCCAUUUUACAUAAAGGACUUGAAUAUUGGGAUCCUGGAACCAAUCUACCUGAUACCAAGGAGCAAUGACCUUUGCAAAAUCAAGCCAAGGAAAUGGCAGGGAUCUAUGGAAAGGAAAUGGGAAGGGGCUGGCAUGAGACCUGAAUUGUUUUUUUUUUUUUUUUUUUUCUUCUCUUAAUUGAAUAAUUCCUGGACUACUGGUCACAGAAUUCUCCUUCUGGGGAAUUCUCUUUCAAAGAACUCGCCUUACAAACACAAAUUACAAAAUAAUGGCAUAUGUUUUCUCUCCCUUAUUUCAUUCUUUAAUGUAAUACCUUUAAAGAAGAAGCUGUUUCACGUAAACCUGAUUAACUCUGAAGAGAGUGAUAAUCCAUCCAAACCAAUCCAAAUGAAGGUAAAAGGAAUAAUCAGGCUUCCAUUAUGCAAAAUGGUGCUCAGUUAAUUUAGUACAUUGCGCUGAAUAAUAAGCUGUUAGGCUCCACAUGGCUUUUUUCACGUUAAAUCAAAUUGCUUAUUGCUGCUAGAGCUUAUUUCAUAUCGCAUAAAAUUUGGAUAUAUUAUAAUGGAGUAGAUAUUAGUCCAUUAUAAGAGACAGGUUUAAGUGCUUCAUUUAUAGAAUCCCUCCACUUGGAAAAUGGUAAGGGAGAAGAAGAAAUGCAAACAAGGUAAUGGACAGAGGGGAUUUAUGUACAUUGCUUGAUGGGCCAGCUCUGCCUCGGUGACUGUGGUUGCUGUGCACAGGACCCAGUGCGUUGGAGAAAAAUCAGCAUUUCUAGUGGAAAGAAAAUCCAAAGCGAAUUUAUGUUCUUUCUCAGGGAAGUGUUGACAUUUUAAUUACUUUCUGUUUUCUUUGGAGCUACAUUUGAGAAUUGGAAGCAAGUUAGAAAAAUAAGAAUUAGCUUUAUUAGAAAUAAGAGGAAUUGACAUGUAGACCCCAGUUGGAAAGGGUUGAGGCUGGGUUCUUGACAAUAUGAAGUCUGCAGCAGGACCCAGAAAGCCAAGAAAACUCAGCCGCUCGAAGCUAACUGGAAGAGUUCCUGCUUGGUCAGGGCUUAUCAUCCCGGAGAGCAGACUGUGCCUCUGUGUGCAAUCUAAUCUUUUCCGGAUGUGCUUCACUUUUUAAUGUUUUUUAUUUUUCCUUUAAACUUUCGUCUUUCUGUAAACAGGGGUUUGUGAGGGUAAGUAAGAUCGAGAUACAAAAAAAGAAAAUGGUCAGAGGGAGUUGGAAUGAGCUGGGGAAAUUGAUAGUCUUAGAAUUAAUUUGGAAGAUAAUAUAAUUGUCUUUUGAUAUUUCAUAAAAGAAAAAUAUCUGUGGAGGCGAGGGUGGAACGGAGUAAUUGGCUUUAGGAGAUAUGAUAUAUUUGCACUUUUCCUCCCUGCACCUGGAGUCGCCUGGAAUUGAUUAAAUAAGUAUUUAACAAACCAGGGCGCCUACAUGUAUGUUCCAGGAUCAGCAAUCUAAAAAUAGUAACUCAGCACAAGAUGGAAAUUAAAAACCCUCUAAUCAACAUCUUUGUGGUGCUUGAAAGGGUGGUAACCUGAGGGUGUCAGCCCUGCCUGCCCCUUGCCUGCCCCCUCCCCUCCCCUCCCCUCUUCUCUCUCUGCUCCCUCUACUGACAUUCGUUUGUCCCCCUUAUAUUAUUUUUCCCCUUCCCCUCACUUCCUCUUGUAUGUACUUUUGUAUAACUCUGAGGGUCUCCUUCCAUUUCCAUGCAUUUUCCCUUCUCUCUCCCUUUCCCUCCCACCUCUCAUCCCUGUUUAAUGUUAAUCUUCUUCUCAUGCUCUUCGGCCCUACUCUGUUCUUAGUUACUCUCCUUAUAUCAAAGAAGACAUUUGGCAUUUGUUUUUUAGGGAUUGGCUAGCUUCACUUAGCAUAAUCUGCUCUAAUGCCAUAAGCUGGAUUUUCUUGAUUCCAUUUCCUGAGGAAUUCUCAAACAUAUUCAUCAUCUUGUCCUUUGUAUUUCCUGUAAAAUUACAGUUAGAGUUGGAGAUUUUAUCUGAUUCUGGUUCCACGUUUUGGUAAUACUACUUCUUAAGUAGCGGUAUUUCCGUAAAUAGAAGUGUGUGUGUAUGUGUGUGUGUGUGUGUGUGUGUGAGAGAGAGAGAGAGAGCGAGAGAGAGAGAUUAUCAACUCUUAAAAAUUUUUAUAUGAAUCCAUUAAUUCAUUAGUUAUAAAAAUUGUUGAUAUCUUAAUUUUAUAAUUUUUUUUAAAAAAAUAUAUCUUAAUUUUAUAAUUUUUUUAAAAAACCUUUAUUUUCUAGAGCAGUUUUAGGUUCACAAGAAAUUGAAUGGAAUGUAAGUAACAUUCCCACAUAAUCCACUCCAUAUAAGCUCAUUAUCCCCCAUGACCAGCAUCACUCCCCAGAGUAGGGGCUUAUUUAUGAAAACCAAUAAACCUGUAUUGACCCAUGCUUACCACCCAGAGUUGAUAUUUUCAUUAAAGCUCACAAUUGUACAUUCUAUGUGUUUUGACAAAUAUAGAAUGAUACAUAUCCACAAAUGAUUUUCUUUUCAUUUAUUGAAUUUCCUCUAUGGGGAGAAACUUCACCCCUCAUUAACAUUUGGUUAGCUGAAGUAAAAGAAAUCCAGAUGAAUGUAUUCUCAUUAUUAUUAUUAUUUAUUCUAGCACAGUCACUAGCAGAGGAAGGGGAUACAAUACACACGUCUUCAUAAAUUGAAUUGUAUUUGAUUCAUAUUAGAAUUUGCUCCAAAGAACUUGUACAAGACAAAGGAGGACACCAUGGUAUUAACAGAGACUAGAACUUAAGUUCCAUGAAAAAGCUUAAAAAGAAUCAAAUCUCAGUAAAGGCUCUCAGUACUAAAGUGAACACGGAGGCACUAGUGAAUCACACAAUUCUGGUACGGCCCGUGGCCAAGUCUCAUCAAUAUUCACCAAAGUAUUCUUUCCCCAACACAGGGAAAGAAAGAAAGAAAGAAAAGAGGGACAAUUUCUGAAUCACUCCCUCCAACCACGGAAAUGAUUUUAAUUACCAAUUCAUCUGUUGGCAGACUCUUCUGGCAGAUGUACCUGCAAGUUGGAAAGAUAACAAAUGAACCAAUUCCUUACUCCAGAGUUGACACUGAUAGUUCGGACUGAAUUUGCUCUCAGAAAAGAAUCCUGGGCAACAAUACAUCUGGCACUCUGCUCGAGGAAUUUGUCAUGUCGUUGACAUGUUCAGCCUCCAUUGUCCAUACCACCCCGGCAGCAGGUCCUUUAUGUUUCAGUGAAAUUGCAGUCUGAAUUAAUAUAAUUAGAAUGUAACUGCUAUUCACUGCACACACACUCCUUAUUUCCAGGAGUACAGAUCUGAUAGCAUGUCUGUGCUCAAAAUCUUUCCAUGAUGGCUGAAGGGGAGCAAGCAGAGAGGGGAAUGAUAGAACACUCACUAGUUCAUCAACCGUAUGAGCUAAUGGAAAUAUAGGAGGAGAGAAAGAAAGUCCUGACCUUGGCAUGUCUAAAGAUAAAUAUCUGUCAAGUUUCCUAGCCUGGAUAGCACUGUUAUAAAAUAUGUACUAUAGUCCGUCUGAAUUGAGAGAAAGAAGUGAACUAGGAAAGACCAGUUAUCUUCCAAAAGACAAUUAUAGUAAGUAGAGUGGAUAAUUCAGGGAUAGAAUUACAGAGUGAAGAGGUGGAUGGACAACUUCCUUCUUUCUUUCAUGUUUUGCUUUGCGCAGUGGAUGUCGCUCACCAAGCAACUGUCAUCAAGUGAAUAAUGAUUUUUUUUUUUACUAGAAUCUUGAAUUUCAGCCUUCAUUAAUUUUCUGUUCUUACAAAUUCUUGAUAUGGUAGAAAAGGACAUCAACAACUUUUUUUUUUUUAAAUAAGAUGGACUCACAUUUUCUUAAUUGAGUUUGAGUUUUCACUUGGAUGAUCCAUUGGAGGGGAGCACUGCCCUGACAUUAUCAGUAUGUUGGCUGGAGUUCAUGGUUUUGGCCUCUUUUCUUCUCUGGAGAACUGUGAAACUUGUGUACUGGAUGCUGUGUUCCUCCAAAUUCUACAUGGAAUCCCUAACCUCCUGUAUGAUGGUAUUUGGAGGUAGGGACCUUGGGGAAACCAUUGGAUUUGAAUGAGGCCAUGAGGAUAGGCCCCCAUGAUGAAAUGUGUGUCCUUAUAAGAAGAGGAAAAAGAGAUCAGAUUGCUAUCUCUGUCCCCCUCCACCAAAUGAGAAUACAGCUAGAAUGCAACUGUCUGCAAUCCAGGAAGACAGACCUAACAAAGGACAUCAACUGACUUGUACCUUGAUCUAGGAUUUCCCUGCCUUAAAUACUGUGAGAAAUAAUUAUCUGUUGCUUAAGUUACCACCCGAUCUGUACUAUUUUGUUAUGAUGGCCUGAGCUAAGACAGUGCAUGGUAUAAUUUGAGCAUGUGCCCUAAAGGUUCAAGUGUUGAAGGAUUGGCCUUCAAAGUGGUAGCAUUGAGGUGGUAGAAAUCUUUUAGAUGUAAGUCUCAGUGCAAGGUGAUUAGGGCUGAGGGAGGCAUUGUCCUUGGAAAGGAUUAAUGCUGGUUUUACAGAGUAGUCAGUUUUUGAGAGGGUGAGUUGUUAUACAAAGAGCAAACCUGGAACCUGAAUCCCUCUUGCUUUCUGUCUCACUAUGUGAUAUCUUCCAUAUACUCUCCUGCAAUUGUUAGCAUCUUGAAAACAUCAACAAUGAUUCCUUGCCUUCGUGCUAUCCUGUGAAGCAUUAACCUUCUCUCCCUAAAUUUGAAGGAACUGUCCACCAUUUUACAUUAACAAGCCUAGGGGUUUUCAGAAUUAAGUGUGUUUCGGAAUCAUAUGUGGUGGCUGGGGGCAUUGGAAGAGGAUUUAUUAAAAUGCCAAUGCCUGAAUUCCUUCUGGAUCCACAGAAUCAGAGUUCUCAGCUGUGGUGCCCAAAUAAUGUGAGUUGAAAUCCACUCCAACUGCUUUGAACUUGACACCUCUAGGCUGAUAUUCUCUUUCACAGAUACAAUAUUCAAAAUUACUAUACUAGCAGAUAUUUCUAUAGAUGAUAAGCAUCAUUUCCAAAAACAAAUAUAUUUAAUUUAUAUAAGUGGAGGUAUGUUUAAGACAUUUUGAGAGGGGCCUAUCAGAAUACUUGUGGGGCUACUGUGACCCUCUCCAGUGUAUACAUUCUUUUUCUCCUUUGUUAACAGCAUGCUUAGUUUCCCAGUCUGACUGUUCACUCUGGGUUAGAUAGAAAAUUUGACAUCUCACAUUUUCAGGCAAUUUACUUUGCAAAUUAACACAAUAGAGAUUUAUAUUUUAAUGUUGAAAUCCUUUAAUAAAGUAAAUAAUUGUCUCUCUUUCCAGAAUAUUUGUCUUAUUACUCUGGAUGCUUAAUAAUAGGAUUAUGUGUUAUAAACAUGUGUUUAGGCAUCCAAAUAUAUGCACAAAUGGAAAAUAUCAAGCUUACAUUCCCCAAAAGUGGACACUCAUGAGGUCUUGCCUUUGUUUUCUCUAAGGACUAUCCAAAUCAGAGUUCAAUGAAGGAAGUUUACAGAAAUCUUGUCCCUAGUCUCCUAGUUUCCACCCACAGCAGGCUCUGUUUAGUGGCCUUCAGAGAAUUCUCAUGGGGGUGGAUAGGAAGUGGAUUGGGCAUGGACUUGAGCUCCUAUCUGCUGUUUGACCAAUGGAUUUUUGGAUAGACUUGUCAUGCAAAAAAUAGCUUGAUUUAUUCCCGUGUGGUAGUAGAGACAGACUCCCAGGACCCGGAUGCCCCUUAACACCCCAGAGGACAUUAUUCUGAAUAACUCAGUAAACUGAUUAGUAGAGCUACUAGGCAUGAUAAGUAUAUUCCAAAAAAAGAUCUUUUUCCAAUUACAAAAGUAGUGCAUACUCCUUGAAAAGAAUACUAGAGGGGAAGGGAGAAAUGUAGGAAAGAUAAGAAGGGAGAAAGUCCAAGCGAAGUGCUGACUUGACAGUCGAAGCCCUGUGGACUAGAACCCAGCCUUCCUUGUCGUCUGCUUUUGGGUAAGUUACACCACACGUCUGAGCAUCCUUCUCAUCUGUGAAAUGGGAACCACGUCUCUCGCAGAGUCAGGGUUUGUUAAAGCACACUCUGAGGAAGGGUUUAGUGAAAUGACUGGAGUGGAGGGAGCAGCUGUAACACUAUAUACCAGAGAGAACAGUGUUGUCAAGGCUGGUAGCAAUGGGUGGUGGUUACUGAGUAUGUCCUUACUGGGCAAGCAGACUUGACUUUGAACCCCUUUUGCUUGUCGGCAGAGUUAUUGCUAUUGGUAUUCCUAGUGUUCUAGUCAGCUUUUUCAUUGCUGUGGCUAAAAGAACUGAACAGAACAGUUUUAGGGGAAGAAAAGUUUAUGUGGGGGCUCACAGUUUCAGAGAUCUCAGUCCAUGGGCAGGAGGCUUCAUUCCUCAGGGCUCAGGGUGAGGCUGAACAUCAUGGCAGAGAGUGUGGUAGAGGAAAGUGGCUCACAUGAUGAUCAGAAAGCAGAUAAAGACUCCACUCUCCAGAUACAAAUUAGAUACCCCAUAGCUCUGCCUGCAAUGAACCACUUCCUCCAGCCACACCCCACUGUCUCAGUUUCCCACUCAAUUAAUCCCAUCAGGGAUUAAUUAGUUUACUGCUUAGGUUAAGGCUAUAACCCAAUGGUUUUGUCCUCUAAACCUUCUUGCAUUGUGUAAUGUAAGUUUUUGGGGGGAUACCACAUCUAAACCAUAUCACAUAGCAUUAAAUCUGUAUCUUUUUUUUUUUUUUUUUUGUACCAGGGGUGCUUAACCACGGAGUGACUUCCCCAGCUCUUUUUAUCUUUUGUUUUGAGACAGGGGUCUCUCUAAGUUGCUAGAGUCUCACUAAGUUCUCACUUGCAAUCCUCCUGACUCAUCCUACCGAGCUGCUGAGUGUAUCACAUUUUUUAAAGAAAUUUUUGAGCUCUCUUAAUAUUAUGAUUAUCAAAAAUAGAUUUCAAUUACGUCUGUUUUCACGAUGUAUUAACUGAAAUCUCCUAAUCCUUGCCGUAACCUUACAAGCAUUUUUCUUAGUUUGUGAGAAUGAUUAAAAAAUAAAAAAUAAAACCCUCAGAAACAAUUAAUGUUCCUAAGAAAGUAAAAAAAAAAAAUCUUUGCAGUAAUGUUUCAUUUUAUCGUCAUAUUUUUCCUGAGAAACCAAUGAAGAAUGGCAGUUUUAUAUGUAAAACAGUAGUUAGCCUUUAUACAGCUGACAUUUUUCUAAAAGCCUAGAAAUAUUUCACAUUUGAAGAAAAACACCCGGUUCCCAUGUUGGAUCCGAUUAAAAUUCAAAUCUAUAUUAACAUCUCAUUACUGUUUGAAAAAGCCAACUGCACACUAAUGGAAAAUGCCCAGUGUCUGCCAGCCCUGCUUUCCCCUGGUUCUUUAGCAAGGCUGUCCUGGGACCUGGGAGGGCGGGGCCACAGUUACAUCCUUGUUAAAACAGCAGCCUGAAUGCUGGCCCUCAGUUUUGGUUUUUCCUUCCUUUUCCCUCUUCCAUCCCUGCAUUGUUUCAGCUGCCAGUCUUGCAGUAUUUUCUUUCAUGCAAGGGAAAAGGAAGGGCAAAAAUGACUUUGAAAGAAUAACAUUUCUUUCUAUGCACUUAAAUAGAACACUCAACACAGAACAUCCUGUGUUUCCUUUUAAUGGAUGACACGCUGACUUGGUGGUGAGCUGACUAAACACCAGGGCUUGACGUUCAGAUAGGUGUUCUUGCAGUCGCACUUACCCGCUGGAGAACAUUCUGCUCGGCUAUUUUAAGUGACAAUCUGUCUUUUUCCAGGCACUCUGGUUCUUCUUAUCCCCCGAUGACUUUUCUCUGUUAUACUUAUCACCUUCUGACGUGUGUUUAUUAUGGUUUUUGUUUAUUCUCUGACUUCCCUGGUCAUAGGUAAAUAUUACAGGAGCAAGCAUCUCUGUUUUGCUAGCUGUUGGAUUCCCUCUUCUAAAAACAGGACCAGGCCCAAAGUAGGCACUUAAUAAAUAUUUGCAGCUGCAACAAAUAAACUAGUUCCUACCUCAGUGUUCUCUCCUGAACAAUUGGGGGAAAAUAAUAGAUAAAAAAUAUGUUAUGAACACAUUCUAUAAAUAUAUUUAAGCCUAGUAGAUACAUUGGAGAUUACAGGUCUAUUUGGAGUGUAGUUGAAUAAGAAAUAAAUGAGUUGGAUGAAAGAGCAACAUUCCCUUGUCACUCUGUUCUCCUACUCGGCUUUAUUUUUCUUCCAACACUGAGUCCCCACAUUCAGUAUAAUACAUAGUUCUUUGUUUUUGUCUGCCUCUCCUUAGUAAAAUGUUAAGUUUUUUUUUUUUUUUUUUUUGUAUGGGGGUGGGUACCAGGGAUUGAACUCAGGGGCACUCGACCACUGAGCCACAUCCCCAGCCCUAUUUUGUAUUUUUUUAGAGACAGGGAAUCACUGAGUUGCUUAGCACCUCUGUUUUGCUGAGGUUGGCUUUGAACUCUCAAUCCUCCUACCUCAGCCUCCAGAGCCACGGGGAUUAUAGGCAUGCGCCACAACACCCGGCCAAAUGUUAAGUUUUAUAAGGGCAGGAUCUUGGGUGUUUUGUUUCCCAUUGCUUAGGCCAGUGUGUGACACAGAGCAAGCACCAAAGACACAAAUAUGCAAAUGUUUCCGUGAGUGUAUUCACUCCGGACUGUAUCUACCCCUGACCCUGACUCGAUCAGGAUUUGUGGUGUGAUUGGUCACUAAGAUCUAGGUACUGCUGAGGCAAAUGAUGGAUGGGGAGAUGAGAAAGGAAACAAGAUGAUCAAGAUGAUACUGAUAUUUUAAGUAUUUCAAUCACAGGGACAACUAUGGGUAUGGUGGGAGAACAGACAGGACCUGGCACUUAGUAGCUGGUCAGUAACGGUUAGCUAUCAUCACCAUCAUUAUCAUAAACCACAUUAGCAUCCAGGUGUUGGCACAUUAGAGCUUAUGGGCCAAAUCCAGCCUGUGGCCUAUUCUUAUAAAUAAAGUUUUAUUGAACAUAGCUCAUUCAUUUAUUUUCUAUGAAUGUUUUCAUGUCUAUGGCUAUUUUCAUUCUAAAACAGCAGAAUUGAGUAGCUACAGAGACUGUAUGGGUUGCAAAACCCAAAAUAUUUAGCAUCUGGCCCUUUACAGAAAAGGUACUUGAACACUCAUCUAGAAUAUUGGUCUGUCUCCAAUAUAACUAAGCCUAGAGCCAAUCAGGCAUGGUCCAUGGAUAAGUUUGAUCCUCAUUCUGAAAUGGGAGUACAGAAACUAAGUAUUUACAAACUUCUAUAACAAUUUGUCAUUGAAAACCCAGUGAAUGAUUUUGGUUUAUACAAAAAUGUUGCUUUAUGACAGUUUGGAAAUUGAAAAGGAUCUGCCCUUUCCUAGAGGGAUGGGUCUGUUUUGUAAUGGGAUGUUGAUCAUAUCAGUAACUUUAGUAAGUUAUGUUCAUGUUGGUUUUAGAUGAAAACAUCUGGAAGCACAUCAGGUGGGAGUGACAAGCGUGUCUUAAGAUUGCAAGUGACCUGGGAAGGUUGAUGAACAAGCACAUUAAUAACAUCGUGAAAAUGGAUUUUCUAUGUAGAUGAAUGGCUCAGCCAGCCACAGUUCACUUACCAGCUAAUAUAGUUGUAAUGUGUUGCUUGGUAUGGAGAGAAGGCAGUCACUUUAGGGUGUUUGGGAUGUUUCAUGCACAUAUAUAAAUAAAUUCUCUUUUGGUAAGAACGUUUUAAGUUGAUAUAUCAUCUUCUUUGAAUAGCAAGUCAUCAAUUUUCCUGGAAAUCUGGUGAAACAACAGUUAUAUGACCAGCCUUAUGUUUUGUUGCAUGUGCAUGUAAACAAAAAAAGAAAGAAACAAAAGAAAAAGCCGACUGACUUUUUCCUUUUCUGUUUUAGAAUCGGUUCCAAACAGUCAAGCCUGCCAGAAAAAACAGACAAACUCUCAAGAACAACAAUGCCUAUUAUGUGUGGUGGAGGAGCCGCCAGAUUUUGAUUACCGGACAGACAUUAACUCCUUUGGUGUCUCAUGCAAGAAAUGCCAAGUCUGAAUCCAGAUAUUUUCCAGAAUAGCAUGAGAUCUGCAAUUUACAGUGUCUUCUGCAAAAAAAAAAAAAAAAAGCAACUGAGAGAAGGAAGUGCAAGUUAAAGACCACAUCUCCUGGUUUCUCGAAUUCUGCCAUGACUCUUCCUGGUAAAUGGACAGACUGAGUACCUGUGCUCUUCCUUUUGCAGGCCUUAGGUUGUGGGCCAGAAGCACGUUACUCUACCCACCUGUCCCACCUGUGUUGUCUUGAUGUCUAAAGGACUGUCACAUUCUGCCCUCAUUGAGAAAAUGCAUGGGUUCCUGGAGGCUACCUCUUACAGUAAAACUUUGAGAAAGAAGAAUCCUUGCAAACUCUGUGAUCAGCAUCUCCCCCCCCCCACCCCAAUAGACUCCCUGAAGGCUGUCAGACUCCAUCCUGCUUUGAGAUCUCAGAUAAAGCAGAGAGCAAUGCGAUUUUCAGAGGGAGGAUGAUAAUAUAAGUAUUUAGACCAUCGUGUGUAUGUAUAUCCUAUGUGUGUAUAAAUACUAUAUAUUUAUUUUAGUAUUUCAUUUGUUCUUUCAUUUACUCUUUAAUACAUAUUUACAAAGAGUCCUCUGUGCAGUGGCUGUGGAUAACCAAGUAAGGUAUAAUCACAAUGUCUACCUUUUAGCCAGAUCUUAUUGCAUAUCAGCAUUGUGUUAAACAUUUUACAUUCAAAUGCAUGAAUGCACUUAAUCCUUAAAAAAAAAAAAACCUGAAGAAACAGCUCUAUUUUACAUCUUAGUAAAUUGACUCCCAGAAAAUUUAAGGACACACAUGUAGUCAAUAUCAGAGUAGGAUUCACAUACAGGUAUGUUUGAUGCAAAAUGCAUUUCCCUAUUUACUUUGAUGUUGUCUUCCCAAAGAUGAAUCAAAAGAUAAAACCACAUUAACUUUCUUUCUUGGAAUUCCCCUUCUGUUUGGUGAGGAAAGAAACACAUGUGAUCUAAUUCUGUUGAAAGGGAGGAGAAGGUAGGAGAGGGUAGAGGAAGCCUCUGUGGCUAGAAAUUCACUCAGCAGAGAGAAACUAGAGAGAUUUUGGCUGAGUGUGUCUUUGUUGGGUAUCAAGAGAACUGAACUCACCCAGAGGCAGAGAUAUUUCUGGCUCAAAGAGUAAUUCUGUCACACAGAAUGGAGGGACUGGUCAGUGGGAAAUCCUUUAAGGCUGUUUCUCCACUUAAUUGCCCUUAUCUUUUCCUUCUUUUCAUUCUUAGGUUAUUUCCAGUCCUUACUAAAAGAGGAACCAGGGAGACUGUGAACUCAGCCAGGUGGAAGUGAUAAUGAUUUUAGAGAAACCACAGGAGAAGGAAGAGCUCCUCCAACCGUCUUCUCACUACCACAAUGGGACCCAUACGGAUUAACUCUUUCAAGGAUGGAGGUGUCUCCUCUCCCUAGAAAUAAAAAUGCAAGUUUUACGUAGGUUUUAGUGUUGUGUGGAGGGAAAACAAGGACUGAUCUAUUUGGUUCUCUUCACUUGAUUCACCCUGAAGGGCUUGCUGCCCUAGAGAUAAGUGGACAGAUGAAGAAAAGUAGUGUCCCCAGAUACCCCGAUGAAGCCAAUGCUCUCUGAAAGGAAGCAGCCACACAUUUAGCCCAGGGAGACCUUUUUGCAUCCAGGAGAGUGAUUUGGGUCAAAGAAAAGGAGAACAGUGACAUUACUGCCAGACUGCUUCUCUAACUAAACCUUUAGCUCUUCUGUUCAGGACAAAUGGGAAUCAGCCAGCAUAGAUGUGACCUGUCCUGUCUGCUGGUAACCACAGUAUCAUAAUUCAUUGGAGUUUCACUUUAAGUAUUUUAAGAAUUACCUGUGAGAUUUUGAGGGUCAAUAUUUUAGACUAUCAUCACUAUUGGACUAUUCAUUUGAAUACUUCUGGGGUUUAUGCCUCUUUUCAAAAGAAACAGUGGGCUUCCCUAUAUUCAUUACAAAGUCUUCCUAGUCUUCAAAUCUUCCUGUGAAGUGUCUCUUCUCUAGUCUUUUAAGUAUACCGUGUGACUGUAUGUCCUCCUCUGAGAAGUGUCUGUUCAGGUCCUUGGCCCAUUUAUUGAUUGGGUUGUUUGUUCUCUUAUUGUCUAAUUUUUUGAGUUCUUUGUAUACUCUGGAUAUUAGGGCUCUAUCUGAAGUGUGAGGAGUAAAGAUUUGUUCCCAGGGUGUAGGCUCCCUAUUUACCUCUCUUAUUGUUUCUUUUGCUGAGAAAAAACUUUUUAGUUUGAGUAAGUCCCAUUUGUUGAUUCUAGUUAUUAACUUUUGUGCUAUGGGUGUCCUAUUGAGGAAUUUGGAGCCCGACCCCACCGAAUGUAGAUCGUAGCCAACUUUUUCUUCUAUCAGACGGCGUGUCUCUGAUUUGAUAUCAAGCUCCUUGAUCCAUUUUGAAUUCACUUUUGUGCAUGGCGAGAGAAAGGGAUUCAGUUUCAUUUUGUUGCAUAUGGAUUUCCAGUUUUCCCAGCACCAUUUGUUGAAGAUGCUAUCCUUCCUCCAUUGCAUGCUUUUAGCCCCUUUAUCAAAUAUAAGAUAGUUGUAGUUUUGUGGAUUGGUUUCUGUGUCCUCUAUUCUGUACCAUUGGUCCACCCGCCUGUUUUGGUACCAGUACCAUGCUGUUUUUGUUACUAUUGCUCUGUAGUAUAGUUUGAAGUCUGGUAUCGCUAUACCGCCUGAUUCACACUUCCUGCUUAGCAUUGUUUUUGCUAUUCUGGGUCUUUUAUUUUUCCAUAUGAAUUUCAUGAUUGCUUUCUCUAUUUCUACAAGAAAUGCCGUUGGGAUUUUGAUUGGCAUUGCAUUAAACCUAUAGAGAACUUUUGGUAAUAUCGCCAUUUUGAUGAUGUUAGUUCUGCCUAUCCAUGAACAGGGUAUAUUUUUCCAUCUUCUAAGAUCUUCUUCUAUUUCUCUCUUUAGGGUUCUGUAGUUUUCAUUGUAUAAGUCUUUCACCUCUUUUGUUAGGUUGAUUCCCAAGUAUUUUAUUUUUUUUGAAGAUAUUGUGAAUGGAGUGGUUGUCCUCAUUUCCAUUUCAGAGGAUUUGUCGCUGAUAUACAGGAAUGCCUUUGAUUUAUGCGUGUUGAUUUUAUAUCCUGCCACUUUGCUGAAUUCAUUUAUUAGCUCUAAUAGUUUCUUUGUAGAGCCUUUUGGGUCUGCUAGGUAUAGAAUCAUAUCAUCUGCAAAUAGUGAUAAUUUAAGUUCUUCUUUUCCUAUUUUUAUGCCUUUAAUUUCUUUCGUCUGUCUAAUUGCUCUGGCCAGUGUUUCGAGAACUAUGUUGAACAGAAGUGGAGAGAGAGGGCAUCCCUGUCUUGUUCCAGAUUUUAGAGGGAAUGCCUUCAGUUUUUCUCCAUUCAGAAUGAUGCUAGCCUGAGGCUUAGCAUAGAUUGCUUUUACAAUAUUGAGGUAUGUUCCUGUUAUCCCUAGUUUUUCUAGAGUUUUGAACAUAAAGGGAUGCUGUACUUUGUCGAAUGCUUUUUCCGCAUCUAUCGAGAUGAUCAUAUGGUUCUUAUUUUUAAGUCUAUUGAUGUGGUGAAUAACAUUUAUUGAUUUCCGUAUAUUGAACCAGCCUUGCAUCCCAGGGAUGAAUCCUACUUGAUCAUGGUGUACAAUUUUUUUGAUAUGUUUUUGUAUCCGAUUCGCCAGAAUUUUAUUGAGGAUUUUUGCAUCUAGGUUCAUUAGAGAUAUUGGUCUGUAGUUUUCUUUCUUUGAAGUGUCUUUGUCUGGUUUAGGUAUCAGGGUGAUGUUGGCCUCAUAGAAUGAAUUUGGAAGUUCUCCCUCUUUUUCUAUUUCCUGAAGUAGCUUGAAAAGUAUUGGUAUUAGUUCUUCUUUAAAGGUUUUGUAAAAUUCUGCUGUAUACCCAUCUGGUCCUGGGCUUUUCUUAGUUGGUAGUCUUUUUAUGGUUUCUUCUAUUUCCUCAAUUGAUAUUGGUCUGUUUAGGUUUUCUAUAUCCUCCUGACUCAAUCUGGGCAGAUCAUAUGACUUNGGGGA